This 72234-nucleotide long non-coding RNA is filed under the name Capsicum annuum. RNAcentral's name for it is "long non-coding RNA (CANN_LNC003461)". Lineage: Eukaryota; Viridiplantae; Streptophyta; Magnoliopsida; Solanales; Solanaceae. The record is from RNAcentral.
CUGUACCAUAAAAUUAACACAAGCCAUUAGUCCAUUACAUUGUGGUAAAUUUAAAUCGAUGUCUGUUGAACUCUUUUAACUAUGCCAUACAUUUUAUUUUGUGACAACAAGAAAGGAUAGACUCGUGAAAUAACAACGGCCUUAAGAGUUAUUUUGUUACAAACAUACAAUAAAGAGUCACACCAAAAUGUAGUUUAAAGAAGAGCUCACCUUGAAUAGGAGAAGCUCCCAAGAGGGUGUCAACUCCCCUAUACUUGCAAGAUUUGCAGUAAACCACUCCCCUUACGCCUACAAACAUCCUCAUCGGAGGUGGAGUUGGUGGUUUAACUGGCGGAUAUGGUUUUACUGGAGGCUUAACUGGCGGAGAUGGUUUUACUGGUGGCUUAACUGGCGGAGAUGGUUUUACUGGUGGCUUAACUGGCGGAGAUGGUGGUUUACUAGGAGAAUGUGCUGGUGGAGUUGGCGGUUUAACUGGUGGAGAUGGUUUUACUGGUGGUUUAACUGGCGGAGAUGGUGGUUUGCUAGGAGAAUGUGCUGGUGGAGUUGGCGGUUUAACUGGUGGUUUAACUGGCGGAGAUGGAGGUUUACUAGGAGAAUGUGCAGGUGGAUACGGUGGUUUAACUGGUGGAGAUGGUGGUGGUGAAGAGUGAGAAGGAGGAGGAGCAGGGGCUGGAGAGUGCUUGUGGUGGUGGUGGUGGUGGUGGUGGCCACCUUUAUGAGGCUUAGGGGCUUCAACAGGUGGGGAGCUAACAGAGGAAUGAGGAGCUAGUUCUGAAGUCACAAUGCCAUCAACAUUUUGGCCAAGAACUGUGAAUGAAGUAACUAGUAGUAAAGCUACAAUAAACCCAAUGGACUUUGUUGGAACAAACCCCAUUUUGUUCGACAAAUGAUUUUUGUAAAUUGAACUCUGAGUAGGUGUGUAAGGGGAAAUGAGUGGCAUUUAUAGAGGGGGUGAAAGAGCCAUAUUGUGUGGUAUUCCCUCUUUUUAAUUUUAUUUUAAAAUUUUAAAAAAAAAAAAGUGUUUUCUUAAAGGCUCUUUAAUAGUAUUAAUUUCUACAUUAUAUUUUAAAAUCACAUAAUAAAAGAUAUUUUAAUGAUAUACCUUUCAGCUUUAGAUCAUAAGAUUCCAAAAUAUGUUUGUUUUUCUAAACGUUAAAUCUACAUAAAUAAAUUAAAAUGGAGGUAGUAGAUACAUAGUCUUUGCAUAUUAAUUAGAUUGGACCAAGAUUUAAGGAAAAAUAAAAUUCAAUAUACUCCUAUAAAAUACCGAUUACUCUUUAAAUGAAAUUAUGAUAGUAUAAUGAUCUCUUAUGUCACUUAUAAUUUAAACCGAAAAAUAAUUUCUUUAAACAAAAGUUCUUUUAACUUUCUUGCAAGCAAAUUUUUAUAUUAUACAACAACAACAAUCCCAGCGUACUCCCAAAGUGAGGCUGGGGAGGGUAAAAUAUACGCAGUCCAUAUCGCUAUCUCCGAAGAAGUAGAGAGGUUGUUUUCAAUAGACCCCUGGCUCAGGAUAGAGAAUAGUACACGAGGUCGUAGUGAAACAUGAAGCAGGAUGAAUCACAUAACAGGAAUAAGGAAUAAGAAAUAGUAAAAUAGAUAUCAGAGAAAUUCGAACUAAGAGAAAUACUAGUAAUACGAAAUAAGAAAUAAGAAAUAAGACACCCACCUUUGUAGUAACAUACACUCACAGACCAAAGACACCCACCACACCUAAACUCUCCUGACUAGAGGCUCCUACUUAUGGACACAGUCUUAGGAUUACUAAUCCGGCUACACAAGAGCUCUCCUAACACCUUGCUACAACCCACACACUCACACUAGUCUUCUAUCCUUAUCUAGGACCUCUACACCUUCCUAUCUAGGGUCAUGUCCUCAGUAAGUUGUAGUUGCUCCAUGUCAUGUUUAUCACCUCUCUCCAGUAUUUCUUCGGUCUACUUCUACUUCCCCUAAAGUCAUCCAAAACUAGCCCUUAUACCUACGAACUUGGGCAUCUGUGCCCCUCUUCAUCACAUGCCUAAACCAUCUCAGUCUUUCUUCUUGCAUCUUGUUUUCCUCCGAAGUCACUCUCAUCUUCUCCCUGAUAGUCUCAUUCUUAACUUUAUCCCCUCUAGUAAGUCCACACAUCCAACGCAACAUUCUCAUUUCCUCCACCUUCAAUCUUUGAACGUGAAAGUUCUUGACUGGAUAACACUCUACUCCAUACAGCAUGGUCGAACGGACGACCACUCUCUAUAAUUUGCCUUUAAGCUUAAGGGGUAUCUUCUUAUCACACAACACUUCCGAGACGAGCCUUACUCCACUUCAUCCAACCCGCUCCAAUACGUUUAGAGACAUUCUCAUCAAUCUCGUUAUUCCCCUGAAUCAUAGACCCAAUAUACUUACAACUAUCCCUCUUACAAACAUCCUGGGAAUCCAACCUCACCAUCGCUUCGUCCUCCUGACUCGAGUUACUAAAUUUGCAUACCAUAUACUCCGUCUUGGAUCUACUAAACCUGAACCUCUUAGAUUCAAGGGUUUGCAUCCAAACCUCCAAUUUUUCAUUCACACCCUCUCGCGUCUCAUGAAUCAACACUACAUCAUCUAAAAAUAACAUACAUCAUGGUACCUCACCUUGAAUACUCCAUGUCAACACGUCCAUCACCAGCGUAAACAAAAACGGGCUAAGAGUCGAUCCCUAAUGCAACCUUGUCUCAAUCGAAAAAUGUCCUUAGUCUCCUCCCGCCGUCCUCACCCAAAUCUUUCCUCCGUCGUACAUGUCCUUAAUAGCUCUGAUGUACGCCAACGGAACCCCUCUUACCUCCAAGCAUCUCCAAAGAACCUCCGUAGGAACUUUGUCAUACGUCUUCUCCAAGUCGAUGAACACCAUGUGUAAAUUCCUCUUCCAUUCCCUAUACUACUCCACUAAUCUCCUCACCAGGUGGAUUGCCUCUGUCGUUGAGCGACCAGGCAUACAAUCAAACUGAUUUUCUGAAAUGGACACGACCCUCUUCAAUCUCCGCUCAACCACCAUCUCCCAAAUCUUCAUAGUGUGACUCAACAGCUUAAUACCUCUAUAGUUGUUGCAACUCUGAAUGUCACCCUUGUUUUUAUAUAACGGAAUCAUCGUACGUCAUCUCCAAGCCUCAAGAAUUUUCGCACUCUUGAAAAUGUCGUUAAAUAAAUCAGUCAACCACCUUAAACCUGCCUUACUAGUAUACUUCCAAAAAUCAACCAAAAUCUCAUCAGGCCCGGUCACCCUACCCCUACGCAUCUAACGAAUAGCCUCUCUGACCUCCUCAACCUUAAAACGUCUACAGUAACUGAAAUCACAGCUUUCCUCCGAGCGCUUCAGCUCUCCUAACUCAAUGCUUCUGUCCCCUUCCUCGUUCAAAAGUUUAUGAAAAUAUUUCUGCCACCUCUUCUUAAUGCGAACAUCCUCCACCAAAGCUCUAUCAUCCUCCCCCUUAAUGCACUUCACUUGAUCGAGGUCACUAUCCUUCCUCUCCCUAACCUUAGCCAGCCUAUACAACCCUUUUUAUCAGUCUUUCUCCUCUAACCCCGCAUACAAGCUCUCAAAUGUUGCUGUCUUAACAGUCGUAACUGCUAAAUUUGCCUCCUUCCUUGCUACUUUGAAAACCUCCCUAUUCACCCUUUUCUCCUCCUCAUCUUUACUCUCAAUCAACUUAACAUACGCUCUCUUCUUGAUCUUCACUUUCUUCUUAACUUUUUCAUUCUACAAUCCCCCUUAUGCCGACCUGCCCAACCCCUCGAAACAUCCAACACCUCUCUAUCCGUCUCCGUGAUGCAGCUGGCAGCGUUAUCCCACAUACCAUCUGCGUCUCCCUAUGCUCCCAUACCCUCAUUCCCACCACCUUCUCCCCUAUCUCUCACGCACUAACUGACGUCAAGCCACCCUACUUAAUUCUGGGUUGACCCUCUCCGGCCCUACUCUUCUUGCUCUUCUUGAUAAUCAAGUUCAUCACCAAAAGCUUGUGCGGGGUCGAAAGGUGCUCACUCGGAAUGACUUUACAGUCCUUACAUAAAACUCUAUCUCCUUUCCUAAGUAGGAGAAAGUCAAUCUGAGUCUUGGGUAACGCACUUCGAAAGACAGGUGAUCCUCCUUUUUCGGAAAAAUCGAAUUCACUACCACCAGCCCAAAGGCUCUCGCAAAAUCUAACAGAGAAACCCCCUCACUAUUUCUAUCGCCAAAACUAAAACCUUCAUGCAAUCGGCAUAACCUCCCGCUAAAACCCUAAUAUGUCCAUUGAAGUCCCCCGCUAUGACAAUCUUCUUCGAGCUAGGCACGCUUCUUACUACCUCAUCCAAAGUCUCCCAAAAUCUCGCUUUCACCUUCUCUUCCAAGCCCACCUGCGACGCAUAAACACUACACACAUGCAACGUAAACCCUCCAAUGACCAACUUAAUCAUCAUCCGCCUAUCACUGACCCUAUUAACCUCCACUACCUGCCCUCUAAGCUUUCGUCCACUAAGAUGCCCACUCCAUUCCAACGCCUCUCACUCCCUGAGUACCACGGCUUGUACCAAUCCACAUCCCUCUCCUUAGACCUUACCCAUUUUGUCUCCUGAAUACACGCAAUAUUAAUCUUCCUCUUCUUAAGAAUCUUCACCAGCUCUACAGACUUACCCUAGAGGUCCCUAUGUUCCAAGACCCUACCCUCAACCUAGCCUCUCUCGCCACUCGCCUCCGUCUUCCACCCCUCACCGAACCAGCCCUAACACCCGACCUAGACCCCACACCCGCCCGUGCCUUCCCCUCCCGAAACAGUCCCCACUCCCACCCCCUCCCCCUCAGACAUGGCCCUAUUCCAUCAACAACACUCACAGCCACUACUCAAUAAUCGGAACAAAGCCCCAAACCAAUUUUUUAUAUUAUAUUUGUAAAAAUUAAAAUUUCUUUAAAAAAAAUUGAAACAAAAUUAGCAAAGAACUAUAUAAUCAAUUGAGCCUAACUUUAAAUGAAAAGAAUACAUAAAUGAAAAGAAUACAUAAAUGGAGCAAAGGAAAUGCGGUGAAAUAUAAUUAUUAUGAACAAUGAAAAGAUUAAGUAAAAAAAAGGUGGACGAAUCAUAAAUAUGGGGGCCAUCUGGAGCUGUUUAAUGGACCAGAAAUGAGUAUUAGGACAAAUUAAAGAGGGCGGGGGGGGGAUAUAUCUCAUAAUCAAGAAAAAUAAAGAUAUUGUAACAGGUGGCUAAAUGCUUCACAUGCAGAGGACAUGAUGGGGCAUGUUAUUUUUGGUAAUUUUGCACAUCUAACCAUACCCUGUACAAUUUUCCAAUGUCCUUUGUUUUCAUGUAAUAUCUUAGUCCCUAUAAAUGGUGUAAUAAUUAAAGGAGACAUGUAGUGCAGAGCAAUAGAUUCAUCGUGGCUUUUCCAUUCCAGCUAAUCAUCUUUAAAUUCCUGUAAUUACAUGCUAUGUUAAUUAAUUCGAAAACAGUACACAGACUCGUCAGCUUUCUCUUUUCUCUUCAUCUCUUCUUAUUUAGCCCUUCUUUAUCUUUGAACAUUUGUUGCAGUUUAGUUUGAAUUCUCGAUUGGAGGAGUCUUGUCCAAGCUAUGUCGUAAUUUAUGUGAUAUACCUUUUCUUUUUAUCAAUCUCAAAAUAUAUAUAUGAUUCUUUUAUAAAUAUCUAAGUUCUAUUUUAAAUUACAAAUUAUAGAGUCUUCUGUAUUUUUUAAGUUGAAGUGGAGUCUUGGAGUAGCUAAUAAAGUUAGUGUCAUGUGAUCAAGAGGUUACGGGUUCAAGUCUUGGAAAUAGCCUCUGGCAGAAAUGUAAGGUAAGACUGCGUACGAUACACUCUUGCAGAUGCGAACCUACCUUGGCACUAGGGGGUGCAAGUGCACCCGCUAGCCUCGCAAAAAACUCCGUAUAUAUAGUUUGUAUAUUUGUAUAUAUAUAAGGUAUUGUGUUAAAUAUAUAUUGUGCACCCACAAAAAUAAUUGACUUGAUUGAUAGGAUGAUUGAUCAUGCCAGUUAAAGUCUUUUUUAUUGCGUGGUGACUCGGGUUCGAAGCCCAACAACAAUAUUUUUUAAUUGCUUCUUUUUCCAAAUACUCUAUUUGUUUGUUGUUUUCUGUUUGAAAUUUUAAGUGCAAACAAACACACACACAUAUAUAUCAUUUGAUUAAAAAAAACUUCCUACUUAGUAAUUAUUUAUUUUAUACUUUUUCUUUUUUCUUUUUUCUUUUAUGUAUUGUGGGCAUUGUUGAUGUAUUUUUCAUUUUAAUUCAAAAUUCAAGCUUCCCUUCAACUUCAUAAUGUAGAUAUUCUCCCUAUCUUGUACUCUAAAUGUUUAUUUCUUUUAUCUUUUGAUCAUUGACUUAUUUUUUAUUUAAAAAAUUAGCAAUUUAAAGUUUGAGAUAGACUUAAAUCAAACGUUUUUCAUACAAUCAUCUAGCAAACAAAUCUCUUGAAUUUCAUAUUUUUCAAAAACUUUUUAUUAUUAUUUAAAAUAUAAAAGUACAUUGAAUUCAAGUAUGAGGGAUAACACACUUUUGUCAUAUUAAAUCUAAUUAAUGAUACUCAAUAAUAUUAAAAGUUUGUUUAUAAAAUACUAUAAUUAAUGAAUUUUCAAAGAGCUGUAUGUCAAACUUUGACACUAUUAAUUAUUAUGUUAAAUAUAGAGGUGCACCCGUUAAGCUCAAAUCCUGGGUUUGCUUCUGCACCCUUGUGGUGGGGCCCUUCCGCGGACACCGCGCAUAGUGGUAGCUUUAGUGCACCGGGUUGUCCUUUUGGAAAGGGAACAUAACUGGUAAAGUUGCUGUCAUGUGACCAGGAGGUCACAGGUUCAAGCCUUGGAAACAACCUCUUGCAGAAAUGCAAGGUAAGUUGUGUACAAUACACCCUUGUGGUGGGGUCCUUUUUCGGACAUCGCGCAUAGCGGUAACUUUAGUAUACCAGGCUGUCUUUUUUUUUUUAAAAAAAAAUUUAAGUUAAAAAUUUGAAGUGCCACUAACCCUUUCAUUCUUAUCGCUCCGGAUUCCGAUCUUUAUGACCUCCGAGCGGCCAAAUAGCGUGAAAAGGGUCCUCAAAAUCAGGCAAGCACUGAACCUGUCCUGAAUUCAGCUUCAGAAAAAAAAGGAUACCACUUAAGGGAAGUUUGGUGUGAGGUAUAAUGAAUAAAUAAUCUCGAAAUAAAUGAUGAAUUAUUUUAUUUCAUAUUUAAUUGAAAGGAAUAAGUUAUUUCAUAUGCAUGGUGAAUAAGUUAUCUCAAAUAAUUUUAAAAUAAUUAAUUCUAAAAUUAAUUAUCUUAAAAUAACUAUUUCCAAAUAAACGAUGGCUUAAAUUGUGACGAGGGAGAAACUAGUAGGACAUGGAGGUGUAUAAUACAACACAGAACUCCAGGAGUAACGGCUAAAUUCCAGCGCAGCAGCUUCCCGAAUAAGGCUGCCUCUUAAGUCUUGGUUACCUUCUCGAGGAAACUACUGCGUUCCAGAUUUCAAAUAUUACUCCAUAAAGUUGCGUAACGAUUCUUUAAUUCAAUGAUUAAUUAUUUCCUCUCUUCUAUUUUAUCCGUUUCAAAUUUUUUAAUUUAAUAUUUCAUUUUACUUGUCCUUUUUAACUUAUCAAGACAAGAUAAUUUUUCUCUCCAUAUUUUAUCCUUUAUAUUAAUUACUUUUUCUAUAAAUGAAAAUGUAAACAUCAUUUAAUAGGGAUAUUAUAGUAAACUAGCUAUGCUAUUUAUUAUUUUUCUUAAUAGUUGUAUCAUCCCAAUUUAGGACGAGUAAAAUGGGAUGGAGGAAAUAGUAUCUGGCUUAAUUAAAAGUUCAAGGAAUCAAGUUGAAUUUAAGUUUUGUUCACCGUUAGUGUACAAAAUAUUACACACUAUUAGGUGAACUUGAUUUGUUAUUUUUAAUUUUUUAAUUUUUAUGUAAAUAAUUAGGUAACCUGCAAUAGCAAGUCAAGUUAACUAGUAGUGUAAAAUUUUUUGUAUACUAACGAUGCACAAAACUUAAACUCAAUUGAAUUUAAGAUAUGAAAAACGUCUUAAAUAAAGUAAUUUUUUUUUUCUUAUAAAAAGGUGUUUUUGAUAUGAAUUCAAUUAGUGGGAUCAUAAAAUAAAUAUCUCAAACACAUAUAAUUCGUACUCGUCAGUUUUCUACCGACACAAUUUGAUAUCACGGAAUUUAAAGUAGAGUAAACAAUUUUCUAUUGCACGUUAACUAAAACUUAUAGUAAAUAUUAUUUAGCUGUUGGAAUUAUGAUUAAUUUGAAUUGAGUAUUUUAAUAUAAUAACAUAUUUUUAUUGAAUAUUUUUUAUUUAAAUGUUAGAAAAACUUAUGAUCACAUUCUCAAACACUCAUAGGUAAAUAAAUCAAUUAUUAAAUAUUAUUAGUAUCUUUUUUAAUGAUAUGCAUUAUUCUCAAUAACCGAUAAAACCUCAAGACUUGAUGGUGAUGUUUGAGUGUUUAAAUAAGAAAAAUAUGUUGACGGUGUCCAAAAAGUUGAAACAGUAAAAAUAUAGUAGUACUUUGACCCUCAUUCCUAUUAGGGGUGGGGUCGUUUGGUCAGAAAAGUGUCAUUUUGAGUUGAGGAAAGACGUGUUUUUACCUCAAACUUGUAAUCUAAACUCACUUUCAACACUUAAACUUAACUUUUGUUUAUAUAUUCUUUUUAACAUCUUUAAACUAUAUUAAUUUCACCCUUCAAAACUGAAUACCACUCUCACAAUAGAGAGUAUACAUACACGCCGAUAAAUCAGCAUCACGUCACUGUCACAUCGAAGUCACGCAAAAAAAGAAUUUUUUAAAAAUAAUUAUAUAUAUAUAUAUAUAUUUGACUAAUCUUCUAGGUAUUUAUUUAUAUAUGAACCCAAAAUUUCAAGCCUGAAAUUCUAGUUCAUCAUAAACAUUGCUAGUUUCAACACUGCCCAAUGUAUGGAUCUUCAUUUUUGGGUCUUAAAUUUCAACAUAAACUAACUAAAUUCAUACCAAUUAAACUUAAAUUUCAACUACAGCUUCACAACAUCAUUAGAAAAUCUCAAUAAUUAAUUCAAUAAACUCAUUUUUUUUGUCUUCAAGCUUUUUUAAAGGUCCAAUAAUGGUGGAUACAAAAUUAAACUAGUAAAAUUCAUACCAAUCGAACUCAAAUUUCAGAUACAACUUUACAACAUCAUUAGAAAACUUCAAUAAUCAAUUUCGACAUCAAUCUCAUCUUGAAUUUGCUAAACUCAUUUUUUUUGUCUUCAAGCUUUUUCAAGCUUAAACAAUGACAGAUACAAAAUUAAACAAGCAAAAUUCAUACCAAUCAAACUCAAAAUUCAAGUACAACUUUACAUCAUCGUGGAAAACACCAAUAAUCAAUUUGAACAUCACCCAUGAAUUUGACACUCAUUAUUUUUUUGUCUUCAAAAUUUUUUCAAGGUUCAAUAAUGGUGGAUAUAAAAGACAAUCUCAUAAAUCCAACAACAAAUUUCUUAAAAAUUUACAUAAGUAAUUUAGUUCAACAAUCAUGUAUUGAAAGACUUUCUUUUCCAAAAUUAUUUUCUAACCCAUUAGAGUUCACUCCCUCGCACAAGCAACUCUAACGGCUCCCUCUCUUUCCCCCUACCCUCUCUCUCUCUCGCUCGCUCGCACUGGUCCCCGGCCCCCGUCGCCGUCGCCGACCCGACCCGACCUCUNNNNNNNNNNNNNNNNNNNNNNNNNNNNNNNNNNNNNNNNNNNNNNNNNNNNNNNNNNNNNNNNNNNNNNNNNNNNNNNNNNNNNNNNNNNNNNNNNNNNNNNNNNNNNNNNNNNNNNNNNNNNNNNNNNNNNNNNNNNNNNNNNNNNNNNNNNNNNNNNNNNNNNNNNNNNNNNNNNNNNNNNNNNNNNNNNNNNNNNNNNNNNNNNNNNNNNNNNNNNNNNNNNNNNNNNNNNNNNNNNNNNNNNNNNNNNNNNNNNNNNNNNNNNNNNNNNNNNNNNNNNNNNNNNNNNNNNNNNNNNNNNNNNNNNNNNNNNNNNNNNNNNNNNNNNNNNNNNNNNNNNNNNNNNNNNNNNNNNNNNNNNNNNNNNNNNNNNNNNNNNNNNNNNNNNNNNNNNNNNNNNNNNNNNNNNNNNNNNNNNNNNNNNNNNNNNNNNNNNNNNNNNNNNNNNNNNNNNNNNNNNNNNNNNNNNNNNNNNNNNNNNNNNNNNNNNNNNNNNNNNNNNNNNNNNNNNNNNNNNNNNNNNNNNNNNNNNNNNNNNNNNNNNNNNNNNNNNNNNNNNNNNNNNNNNNNNNNNNNNNNNNNNNNNNNNNNNNNNNNNNNNNNNNNNNNNNNNNNNNNNNNNNNNNNNNNNNNNNNNNNNNNNNNNNNNNNNNNNNNNNNNNNNNNNNNNNNNNNNNNNNNNNNNNNNNNNNNNNNNNNNNNNNNNNNNNNNNNNNNNNNNNNNNNNNNNNNNNNNNNNNNNNNNNNNNNNNNNNNNNNNNNNNNNNNNNNNNNNNNNNNNNNNNNNNNNNNNNNNNNNNNNNNNNNNNNNNNNNNNNNNNNNNNNNNNNNNNNNNNNNNNNNNNNNNNNNNNNNNNNNNNNNNNNNNNNNNNNNNNNNNNNNNNNNNNNNNNNNNNNNNNNNNNNNNNNNNNNNNNNNNNNNNNNNNNNNNNNNNNNNNNNNNNNNNNNNNNNNNNNNNNNNNNNNNNNNNNNNNNNNNNNNNNNNNNNNNNNNNNNNNNNNNNNNNNNNNNNNNNNNNNNNNNNNNNNNNNNNNNNNNNNNNNNNNNNNNNNNNNNNNNNNNNNNNNNNNNNNNNNNNNNNNNNNNNNNNNNNNNNNNNNNNNNNNNNNNNNNNNNNNNNNNNNNNNNNNNNNNNNNNNNNNNNNNNNNNNNNNNNNNNNNNNNNNNNNNNNNNNNNNNNNNNNNNNNNNNNNNNNNNNNNNNNNNNNNNNNNNNNNNNNNNNNNNNNNNNNNNNNNNNNNNNNNNNNNNNNNNNNNNNNNNNNNNNNNNNNNNNNNNNNNNNNNNNNNNNNNNNNNNNNNNNNNNNNNNNNNNNNNNNNNNNNNNNNNNNNNNNNNNNNNNNNNNNNNNNNNNNNNNNNNNNNNNNNNNNNNNNNNNNNNNNNNNNNNNNNNNNNNNNNNNNNNNNNNNNNNNNNNNNNNNNNNNNNNNNNNNNNNNNNNNNNNNNNNNNNNNNNNNNNNNNNNNNNNNNNNNNNNNNNNNNNNNNNNNNNNNNNNNNNNNNNNNNNNNNNNNNNNNNNNNNNNNNNNNNNNNNNNNNNNNNNNNNNNNNNNNNNNNNNNNNNNNNNNNNNNNNNNNNNNNNNNNNNNNNNNNNNNNNNNNNNNNNNNNNNNNNNNNNACCUUUCGAAGCGCGAUAGCCAGGACCCAGAUUGACUUUUUGUUGCUUAGGAAAGGGGAUAGGGCGUUGUGUAAGGACUGUAAAGUCAUCCCGAUUGAGAAUCUUUCGACCCAGCAUAGGCUCUUGGUUAUGGAUUUGGGUAUAAAGAAGAAUAGAAAGAGGAGGAGUAAGGAGUGUAGACCUAGAAUUAAGUGGGACGGCCUGACGCUAGUGAAUGCGUGGGAGAUAGGGGAGAGAUUGACGGGAAUGGGGGUGUGGGAGUGUAGGGGGGACGUGGAUAGUAUGUGGGACAGGGCGGCAAGGUGCAUCAGAGAGAAUGCAAGUUAGGUGUUGGGUGUUUCUAGGGGCCGGGACGGACACCAUCGGGGGGAUUGGUGGUGGAAUGAAGAGGUGGAGAAGAAAGUGGGGACCAAGAAAGGGGCGUAUGCUAAGUUGGUGGAAAGUAAGGACGAAGAGGAGAAGCGGGUAAACAGGAAAGAGUACAANNNNNNNNNNNNNNNNNNNNNNNNNNNNNNNNNNNNNNNNNNNNNNNNNNNNNNNNNNNNNNNNNNNNNNNNNNNNNNNNNNNNNNNNNNNNNNNNNNNNNNNNNNNNNNNNNNNNNNNNNNNNNNNNNNNNNNNNNNNNNNNNNNNNNNNNNNNNNNNNNNNNNNNNNNNNNNNNNNNNNNNNNNNNNNNNNNNNNNNNNNNNNNNNNNNNNNNNNNNNNNNNNNNNNNNNNNNNNNNNNNNNNNNNNNNNNNNNNNNNNNNNNNNNNNNNNNNNNNNNNNNNNNNNNNNNNNNNNNNNNNNNNNNNNNNNNNNNNNNNNNNNNNNNNNNNNNNNNNNNNNNNNNNNNNNNNNNNNNNNNNNNNNNNNNNNNUUCAGGACGGCAAAGAUGCUCGAGGCGUGGAGGUGGAGUACCAUGAUCCCCCUCUAUAAGAAUAAGGGGGACAUUCAGAGUUGUAAUAACUAUAGGGGGAUUAAGUUAUUGAGUCACUCUAUGAAGAUCUGGGAGAGAGUGGUCGAGGUGAGGCUGAGACGGAUAGUGUCUAUUUCGGAAAACCAGUUCGGAUUUAUGCCCGGCCGCUCGACGACGGAGGCAAUCCACCUGGUACGGAGGUUGGUAGAACAGUAUAGGGAAAGGAAAAAGGAUCUGCACAUGGUGUUUACGACCUGGAGAAGCCUUACGACAAAGUCCCCAGGGAGGUGCUUUGGAGAUGCUUGGAGGUGAGUGGAGUACCGCUGGCAUAUAUCAGAGCAAUUAAGGAUAUGUAUGAUGGAGCGAAAACUCAGGUGAGGACGGCGGGAGGAGACUCAGAGCAUUUCACUGUCCUGACAGGAUUGCAUCAAGGAUCUACUCUUAGUCCCUUUUUGUUUGCGUUGGUGAUGGAUGUGUUGACGCGGCGUAUUCAAGGGGAGGUGCCGUGGUGUAUGCUUUUUGCAGACGAUGUAGUUCUGAUAGAUGAGACUCGAGGGGGUGUGAAUGACAAAGUAGAGGGGUGGAGGCAAACUCUUGAGUCUAAAGGGUUCAGGGUGAGCAGAAGCAAGACAGAGUAUGUGGAAUGCAAGUUUAAUGACGUGAGGCGGGAGAAUGAGGUAGUAGUGAAGCUGGAAUCACAGGAGGUAGGUAAGAGGGAGAGUUUCAAGUAUCUCGGGUCNNNNNNNNNNNNNNNNNNNNNNNNNNNNNNNNNNNNNNNNNNNNNNNNNNNNNNNNNNNNNNNNNNNNNNNNNNNNNNNNNNNNNNNNNNNNNNNNNNNNNNNNNNNNNNNNNNNNNNNNNNNNNNNNNNNNNNNNNNNNNNNNNNNNNNNNNNNNNNNNNNNNNNNNNNNNNNNNNNNNNNNNNNNNNNNNNNNNNNNNNNNNNNNNNNNNNNNNNNNNNNNNNNNNNNNNNNNNNNNNNNNNNNNNNNNNNNNNNNNNNNNNNNNNNNNNNNNNNNNNNNNNNNNNNNNNNNNNNNNNNNNNNNNNNNNNNNNNNNNNNNNNNNNNNNNNNNNNNNNNNNNNNNNNNNNNNNNNNNNNNNNNNNNNNNNNNNNNNNNNNNNNNNNNNNNNNNNNNNNNNNNNNNNNNNNNNNNNNNNNNNNNNNNNNNNNNNNNNNNNNNNNNNNNNNNNNNNNNNNNNNNNNNNNNNNNNNNNNNNNNNNNNNNNNNNNNNNNNNNNNNNNNNNNNNNNNNNNNNNNNNNNNNNNNNNNNNNNNNNNNNNNNNNNNNNNNNNNNNNNNNNNNNNNNNNNNNNNNNNNNNNNNNNNNNNNNNNNNNNNNNNNNNNNNNNNNNNNNNNNNNNNNNNNNNNNNNNNNNNNNNNNNNNNNNNNNNNNNNNNNNNNNNNNNNNNNNNNNNNNNNNNNNNNNNNUGGACUGCGUACAUCUUACCCCCCCCCCAGACCCCACUAGGUGGGAAUACACUGGGUUUGUUGUUGUUGUAUUUUCUAACCCAUUAAACUUCAUAAUUUUUCACACACAUUUUUUUCUUUCUUGAAGAUAUUAAUAAAGAUAAUAGAAGUGGAGAUGGAGAGUUAGAAGAAAGAGAAAGGAAACUGGGGUAGGAUAGAAAUACAAGAAAACGAAAUGGAGUGAGGAUGGGGGGCUUAUGAAGAAGAUGAAGAUCGGGUGGGGUGAGAGGUAAAGGGUGAGUUUCUCUUUAUAUAUAUAAAUAUAAAUAUAAAUAUAAAUAUAAAUAUAAAUAUAUAUAUAUAUAUAUAUUAUCGUCCACCAGAGUAUGAAUGAUAAACUAGAGGUGUGGAGACAGACCCUUGAGUCUAAGGGNNNNNNNNNNNNNNNNNNNNNNNGUGAGUCUUUCUCUCUCUCUCUCUCUCUCUCUCUCUCUAUAUAUAUAUAUAUAUAUAUAUAUAUAUAUAUAUAUAUAUAUAAAAUUAAAAAAAGUGGGACCAUAUCAGUUUAUUAAUAGAAAACGUGCUUUUUUUUGCUUUUUUUUUAAAUUCCACGUCAGUUUGAGGGGUGAAAUUAAUACGCUUUAAAGAUGUUUAGGGGGUAAAUAAAUGAAAAUUAAGUUUAAGUGCUAAAGUGAGUUUGGAGGACAAGUUCAGGAGGGAAAAGAUGUUUUUUCUCUUUUGAGAUUAGCUAUCGUGAGGUUAGUUAUCAGUUAUCAUAGUAUUAUAUAUAUGAGAUAAAUAAUUUUGAUACUAAUUAAUACCUCAGACUAACAUCAAAUAAAAUAAUUUUUUAUUUUAUCUCGAGUCUAUUUAUCCUUUAUACCUUUCACCAAAUGACUCCUGAAAGCUUUUUAUUAGGAUAUGAUUAGUAGGGAGAAAAAUGUUUUCGACUUUUUUCCUAUUUAAUUGAUCAAAAUAUUUUUUUUAGAAAAAAAAAAAAGAUUUUCAAGUAUGAGGAAAUUAACACUUUCUUCAUGAAAGUAGGAAAAACAAACUUCAUUAAUAAGUGACGUUCGGACGUUCCAAGUUAGAGGUAUCAUUUAAUACCUCCAGGCUCCAACCAUGCAUCUCACUCCCAACCCAGCCACCCUUGAAAACCCCCAGUACCCAACCCAUCCCUCCGCCAUAGCAUUUUGCUGAGGAAUAUAUAAAUAAUUUUAAAAUAAUAUUUUCUUGCUUAUUUAUCAAAUUAAACACAAAAAAUAAAUAAAUAGAAAAUUCACUUUUUUUUUCAUGAAAAUAUUUUUAGAAAAAUCAUUUUCUAUGAGAAACAUUUUAGUUCAUAUACCAAACAUGCCCUUAAUGCACGAACCUUUUUCGGACAGGGACUCCAUAACCAUGGUUGUAAAUAUAUUGAUUAAAUUAAAAAUCAAAACCAAAUUAGGUACCUAUUGGUAACUACACUACAGAAAAGGUUAAACAUUGGACAUGGGAUCAACAUUUUCCUUUUUCCUUUAUGGUACGUCACGUGAUGGGGUUUCAUCUUUUCAUCAGUCGAAGUAUGGAUAAUUAUGCUCACAUUUUGAGGACUUAAAAUGAAUAUUAUAUUCGAAGAAGGGAAAACAACAACCAAUAUAUGUAAUAACACAUAAUUUUAACUCCAAAAUUGGAAAACACACUGUUUUACUUAUAACCCAUAUGCAGCAAAUUAAUGGGUAUCCUUCAUUGUUAAAGGUCUAUCACUUGAUUAAUUAACAGUAAUAGAUAAAUGUAGGUCUCACAAAUUUUCUUGUGGUUUUCAUCAAAAAGGAAACAAAUAUCAAAAGAAGAGACAUACUUUACUUUCUUGUGCUUAGAGACUCAUCUAAACAUUAUAUACAGGAAUUCAGAUUUUCACCUCCUUAUUUUAUUACUCUCUUUGUUUAACAAUUACUUUCCUUUUCAGUUCAUUUAAAAAAGAAUGAUCCCUUUUUCUUUUUGGCAAUACUUUAAUUUUAAUUUUUCAUAUGACAUGUUUAAGACCACAAGAUUAAAAGAUAUUUUGGUACAUUUGAUACAACUUUAAUUUAAGGCCACAAAGUUUAAAAGUCUUCUUUAUUUUUUUAAAUUUUGUGCCAAGUCAAAGUAGGUCAUUCUUUUUUAAACGGAGAAAGUAUAUUAUAAUACUAUUAUGUUACACUUGGGCAACCUAACAACUGAUACUCUAAGUAGUACAUGGGCUUUGUUUAACAGGCUUAACUGGGCCAUCAGAUCCAAUGAAUGUUCAUCACUGCUAACAUUCCGGGUCAGUUCAGGCCUUGAUAUCCAGCUAACAGACAGUAGCAGAGCAAUACACUAUUUUUCUUUUUUAAAAAAAUGGGGGUAGAGGAACACGUUGGGAGAGGGAUUACACGGCAGGGAAUUGAGUUCUUCACCAGCAAGAUGAAAACAUAGUCAACUAGUUGAGCUAUUAAUUAAGAUUUCUCUUUAGAGGGCAGUACUAAUUACCCUUGCAGACAAAAAAUUUCUUCACUCGAUAUUUAUGUUAAAGCAAAUAAUUUGACAUUAGCAGUUAGGAGUUAAAAUAAAAAGUUUUUAUUCGAAUUUAAGUCACAAAUGUGUGAGUGAAAUUAAAACGUAUAUCUUAUAUUCAUUUGUUUGGUAAAAAUAUAGAGUACCAUUAAUUUUUUUAUCCUCAACUUAGUACCCUGUAGGACAUUUCUAUCUUUUUUUUUAUUGAUACUUUUUUCCUAUUUAAUCCACUUAAGAAAGGAUUGAGACAUUUUUAUAUUUAGCAACUCAUUUAUAUUAUAGUAUUCACAUUUUAUUCUUGAUAAAUUUUCUUAUAGCUAGGAAUGACAGGACUAUAGUACAAGAUUCUAAAUAUAUUUUGGUAUUUUCUGCAUAUUAUUUAAUAUAACACAAGCAUUUACUUCGUUCGAUCAAGUAAAAUUAGAAGAAUUGGUCCUCUUUAUUCGAUCAAAGCACAAUAUAAUCAUUUAUUUUUUCAGGUGGUCUGAAGUUGUAGGGCAGAGGGAACAUAAUUCAUAUAAGGAAAGUUAAAAUUACACAUUUCAAUUUUUAUAACUUCGUUAUCAUUCGUCCAUUAGAAGUCAAUAUAAAAUGGUUACAAUUUUUUAUAACCUUCAUUUCUAGAUUUUGCCACUGAAUAUCCAUAGUUGAUUUUGCUCGAAAAAUAAAAAAGAUUUUUCCGUCAGGAACUCAAAUCCUUUCGUAUUUUUAUUUUCCUCAGUUUUCCUAGCUAGUACUACAAUAUUAUUGAACUCAAUUACUUUCUGCAUGGGAAUUUUCUCUGGGCUUCGAAUAUAAAUGGCCCUACACCAAAGAAAUCAAACUUGGGUGGUUGCAUUGGUCCUGGGCCAGGAUUACCUGGUGGUUUUGGUGGCGGCAUAGGUUUCAAUACAUCACCAGAUUUUCCAUUGUUGAAAUUUGUUGGCACAUUGCAAAUGCAUUUUGGUGAUUUGAUUAAGUAUACCUUGCAUUUGUGGACAUCUGAACUGGUUAAAGAUUUGGGUGUAAUAGCAAAAUCACCAUUCCUAUCUGUCAAUGCUGUUUGAACAUUUGCAUUGUUCCCAUUAUUGUGACACUCUAGCUUCACUGUAGCUCCUGAAGCAUAAACAAACACACAGCCUUUGAAAAAUUGAAGUAUAAGCUCAAUCAAAAUAAACAACAGAACUUAGAUUUGAUCCAUUUAGCUAUAUAAAGAACUUGUAUUUAUACAUAUAUAUUUUUCAGAGGCUAAUCAAGUAGGGUUGGAGCCAGUCCUCCACCUAUGUAUAUGUCUGGCUGAAUUUAGUAGCUUUCACUCAAAACUUUAUAUAUGUUUUGUAUUCAAAAAAUCAAGUUUAUGAAUAUAUUUUGUUUCAAGAAUUCAAUAAUAAAAAAUAAUUGUGAUUUAGAACCUAUAUGCUAAAAAUUAUGUUUGACAAGUUCAGAUAUUAAGACUAUUAACUAGCACUGUAACUUACUGUAUUUUUGAAUUCAAGAUUUAAUUAAUUUUAAUACUAUAAAAUUUUAGUAACUUCUCACACGUUAACCCUAUUGAACAAAGUUUGAAUUUGUCUCUGUGUAUUUAAAUGUGUUGUAUGAUAAUUUGCCUUAUUUCCUAGGUUAGUAAUUCCUUUUUUCUUUUGUAAGAGUGGUUAUCUAACAAAAUUAUUUUUUAAUUGAUCUGACAACGUAAAGAAUUUAAGUUGCAUGAAAGUUGUAGUAAUUUGUUUGAGUGCAUGCAAAUAGAAUGUGAAGGUAAUGAGGAGAGAAGGUAGUAAAAUAACCCUCGAGUGGAAAGGCUCUGAAGAGAUCUGGAAGUCCUCUGCUACUGCAAGAUUUGCAAUUAACACGGCCGACGACGAUUAGAGGCUUUCCGGCGGGAUGAAUUACCGGCGGUGGCAGCUUAUAUACUGGUGGACAUACAGUUGGUGGAAAUGGUUUUAUAAUAGGUGGUUGAUUAAUUGGUGGACGUGGUUCAUUGAUUGGUGGCUCAAGGAUCGGAGGCUCAAUAAUUGGUGGUUCGUCAUAAUCAUUUGGUGGCGGUGGUGAUGACUUAAUAGGUGGUUGAUUAGUUGGUGGUGAUGGUAGUCUCCUUGGUAGUUGAGUAGCUGGUGGUGAUAAUGGUGGUAAUAGGUUUGGUGGAGUAUCUGGUGGUGAUAAUGGUGGUCUUCUUGGCAGUUGAGUAGCUGGUGGUGAUGAUGGUGGUAGUAGGUUUGGUGGAGUAGCUGGUGGUGAUAAUGGUGGUCUCCUUGGUAGUUGAGUAGCUGGUGGUGAUGAUGGUGGUAGUAGGUUUGGUGGUUGAGAAGGUGGUGGUGCACGUUGGUCUGCUGGCGGUUGAGUAAGAGGUGACGGUGGAGGUGUUUGUCUUGGUGAUUGAGCUGGUGGUGAAUUGGUUAGUGGCGGUGGAGGCGAUUGAGAUAGGGGCGGUGGUGACUUAGUUGGCGGCGGCGAAAGUGGUGGUGUAGGUGAUUGAGCUGGCGGCGGCGGCGAAGGUGGUGGUGCAGGUGAUUGAGCUGGUGAUGGUGAAGGUGAUUGGGCUGGUGGUGGUGAAGGUGAUUGAGCUGGUGGUGGUGAUGACUUGGGUGACGGAGAAGGUGAUGGUGAAGGUGAUUGGGCUGGUGGUGGUGGUGACGACUUGGGUGGUGGUGAAGGUGAUUGAGCUGAUGGUGGUGAUGACUUGGGUGACGGAGAAGGCGGUGGUGAAGGUGAUUGAGCUGGUGGUGGUGGUGACUUAGGUGGCGGAGAAGGUGGUGGUGGUCGCUUAGCUGGUGGCGAUGGUGAUGGCUUUGGCUUAUUUACAGGUGGCUUUGGGUUUGGCUUAGGGAUCCCAGGCCGGGGCCUAGGGAAGAAGAACCAGUUGGUUGAGAUGAUUUCAUUGUCCUGAUGAUUGUCUAGUGACCAAUUUUCAAUGACUUCACCAAAGCUGAGCUCUGAGAAAGAGCCAACUGCUAAUGCUAAAACUUGUAUCAUGAGCACCAUGGCCUUUACUGAUGUAAAAGCCAUAGUUACUUUGUUAAUUACCUCAAACCAACUUGCGUAAAAGGAAGUAAGGUGAGCAUGAAUUUAUAGGAGCUUGAUAAGUCAUGUAUAUUACUUGAAUUUUGACUCCAUAUUAUAUUAUAAAGAAAAGAAAUGAAAAAUUGAAACACAUAUAUACUUCAUACUCCAUAAUAUUUCACUCACAUAGAUACACGUAUAGCAUUUGGACAUCUUAAUAUUUUUAACUUGUUAUUACAAGCAUACACUUCAUUUUCAGAUAACUAAUUCAACUAAUAUGAAAUAUUUACUUGAUUUAUCUUUUAUGAGAGAACAAAUAACUUACUAAUACUCUAUUUUUUUUUUUUAAACCACUCGGUGUCCGAUACCCGCUUUUUAGGAGUCUGACUAUAUCCAGAUUCGCCCCGCGUUGGGCCCCAUUUGGGGGAGAGCUCCCAACAGAGUGUUUGUCCAUACCCAGGGUCGAACCCUCGACCUCUCGGUAGGUUGGGACAGCCCCUUUCCGCUGCGCCACCACUGCUGUUGGUACUAAUACUCUAUUUUAUUACAUCGAUCGUCAAUGCAUGCUAGCUAACAAGGUAGGGGUCGUUUGGUAGAGUGUAUUGAAAUGUUAAUGCAUACAUUAGUUUAAAGUGUAUUAGUAGUACCUUAUUUGGUAUACCUUUUUACCCUAUGUAUAACUAAUGCAAACAUUAGUUAUACACUUUAUUGUGUAUUAAGGUAUGUAUUACUAAUACUUCAAAAUUCAUGACAUUAGUAAUGUAAUGGAUCUAAUGCAUGCAUUAACAUGCUUAAAGACCCUAUUACUCCUCAAAAAAAUUUUCGCAUCCUUUCCAACAUAUAUAUUGAGGGUAUUAUGUAAAAAAAAAAUUAUUUUUAGAAAUUAUGUAAUUCAUGUUUUUUUUAAUACAUCGAACUAAACACUGCAUAAGAAAAAUACAAGCAUUACUAAUACACCAUAUUUUACAUUAUUCUUAUAUACACUCUACCAAACGACCCCUAAAGUAUACACAGUACAUUUGUAAUAAGCCCUUCGCUCUGGGUGAUAUUGUUCCCUAAAAAUUAGUGGCUUAAAUCUAGUGUUUUAGUUAAUCUCCUGUAAAGUUAGUUUUAAUGGGAAGGAGUGUAAAAGUCAAAUAUUUCUUAAGCAGAUUAAGAGAGAUUUACGUUGUCAACCUUGUCAUGCAAUAUUUUUCUGUCUAGCUAUUUCAAGUGAAUGUUAUAUCAUAUAUGCAAGCAAAAUCAGUUUGAUGACAAUGCAAGAUUUUAACAUAAUCAAUUUUCAAGUUAUUUUGCACGCACUUUAAGGUGUGCAUAAUUGUUUUCUUUAGCUUCAUAUUUGCAUCUAUUAAUUCAUUGAAUUCUGGUAAUUAAUUAACUUUGUUGUGCCCUUUCUACUCUCUAACAUUCCAGGACCUGCACUUUUACAGAAUGAACUCCAUCACCAUAGUAGAAAUUUGAUCAAACAUGGGACAUGGCCAUUAAUUAUCUUUCACUGCAGAAUAAGCCAUGUGAUGAGAGUAUUUUAGUUGGCUUUAAAACGACCAAACAUUUGACAUGGCAUUGUUUUUCUUUUCUCAUUUUGCUGGUUCUUGAAGUAACACAGUAAUUAAUAACGUACGUUUAAGCAUCAUUAAAAUUAAUACGAGAGACUAAACUUCCCUAUAAAUUGUUCGUUUCAGUUCUAAUUUUCGGAUGCUAUAUGCAUUAUGCAUGACUGUGGAUGUUCGAAAUCAAAUUAAAAAGAAUACUAUAUAUGAUCAGGAGAACUAAGAAAAUCGUGACAAACAUAAUGCUCUCUCCGUUCCUAAAUAAGUGAUGUUAUCAAUUCUCUAGGACAUUCUAAUUAAGAGGGGGCAUGUGUUUGGGAAUAAUGUCAUUAAUUGGUUAAUUCUAUCUUGUUGGCCUCUGGCUCUAACACUUUGUUGAAUUUUGUUUCUUGAGGUAGCCUAAAUUCUUCUUGCAUUCUUAACAUCAUACGAAUUUAGAAUUUGCUUUGUCAUCCCAAGUUCAACAUCCUGAAGUAAAAGUGAAUAAGCAAGUUCCUUUACUUUGUUGUUUUCUUCUCGUAACAAAUGCUGUAGAACAAAGUUAUCCAGUAUCAAAAUAGAUGUUUACAUUGCAAUUUGUUUUGGAUCUAUUAUGCCAUUAGAAAAUUUCUUUCAUUCUCGUAGAAAUGUAGGGUAAAGAUGCAAAUGAAAGAUAUUGGUGGUCCAACUCUUUGCCGAAACUUUGUGCAUAACGAGAAUUUAGUACACCAAAUUGUCUUUAUUUUUCUUUAUAUGUUUUAAAAUUUUAGACUGGCUGAAACUUGAAAGACUUCUACUAUAUCUUGUUGAAGUUUUUAAUUAAUUCCAAGUUAAGAUUCUGGUACUGCUUUGGAUAUUAGGUAGCAGCGGAUUAAGUUGAAUUUGGGCAGAUCAAAAGAUCAAAAUAUGUUGAGUUAAUAAAUGACAAGUUAUUGACCUGUCCAAAGUUACUUAGAGUGAAUAGGCUAAAUGAGGGUCAAAACUCAACUGCCCAAUUCUUCUUAAAUAUUAAUUGCUUUUUUUUUUUAAAAAAAAAAGUUAUCAGUACCUAAUAAAUUAUUACUAUUAUUCUUUAUUAUGAUUAUAUAUAAAUGUCUUUUUAAAAGUAUUUAAACAAGAUUUCUCAUAAAUUAAUUUGGGCUAGAUAUCCUUCAAUUUUAGAUGGAUUUAAUGAAUAAAUGGUAGCGUCAAUAAUCAGUCCAAACUGAACGAAUGGGAAGAAUUAUAAUUUCAUGUGCUAGUUUUACCAUCAUCUAUGGAUUAUCAAUUGUUCCAAAUUGACUUAACGAUACUUUAUCUUCUCCCAGCAAGGAGGAUACUGUAAAUGUUGGAGAUUUUUUUAUUUUUUUUUUUGAUAAAUUUCUCAGUCAUCUGGGGGUGUUGUAUAUCAUACCAAAGGUUUAAUUACAACACACGAUAGAGACUAUCCGUCAAAAUAAAAAAGAAGAGCUUUCAACAAAACAACUUAUUGCUCAUUCUCCUACUGUGCAUAAAGUAAUUAGCCUAACCAACAAAAAAUUUGCCUUGUCAUCUUCAGUUCUAAUGGAUGGAACUUGUCUCUUGUCCAAGCAUAAGAGGCCUUUAGCACCAUUUUGAAGCUCCUGCUCUGGCAAAUAGAUGUUGUUAAUUUGAGAGUUCAAUGCCAUUUUGGCCAGCCAGUCUACAAGUGGAUUAGCUUCCCUAUACCAAUGCUUAUAUUUUGCCGUUGUGUGCUUGAACUAUCCAGAGGUGUUGUCAAUAAUAUAAUCUUGUUAAGUCUAAAGCUUCCUGCCUUCUUUUCUUUGAGUAUUUCGGUAACGACCAUGGAGUCUAAUUUUAUAAGAAGGUUGGUGUAUCCAUUGUUUCUACACCAAUUAACUGAUAUGGGAAUUGAGAAGGCCAUGAUCAAUUGUCCUCCCUCAUCUCUGAGCGCUCCCCCCAAACCUGCUUUGAUAGUGUCCUUGUCGAAGCUUCCAUCAGUAUUCAAUUUGAUGAAGCCCGGUAUAUGAUUGGUUAUGAUCCUUCCUAGUCAAUUUUGGAGAUGAUGCCACGUAUAUGAUUGAUUGGUUAUGAUCCUUCAAAGUUAUUCCAUGUACCAGGAGCCAUUGUUGAUAAAAUAUUUGACUAGGAGUUUUCAACUCUUCGCAGAAUCAGUAGCUCGGUGGGCCGGGCUAGAGGACUUAUACAAGUUCAAUUGUCGGAGAUAUAUGAACAUAUUGAUUUCAAGACGAAAUAAAUAAUAUCAUCAACACUUCAUCUAUGUCCUUGUACGUACAUGAGAGAUUUUGGAGAUUCAAAACCUAAAGUAAUUCGUGCAUUCAAAGCCAAUAAUCAAAGUCAAAAUUUCAAUAUUUCUUAUAGACUACAAUUUUGACUCUGUGACAUGCGAUUUUUCUGUAUUGGUACAAACUUUUGUCUCCAAUGAUAUAUAGUAAACAAAAGAAAAAAGUUUUUUCCAUAACUCAGUGCUCUUAUAUAUUCUUUAUUUUUCCUACAUUUCUGUUCGACAAGUACUUUAUUUUUACUUGUUCUAGUAAGUUACCUGCCUUUGUCUCCCAAGACUCGAAGGCUUAUAAUUAUUUAUGCAUAGUGCAUGGCAUUUUGCUUGAUGCUUCAAAAAUAAAAGUUUCAACUGUUAGAAUCAUUUAUUUUAUGUGAACUUAUAUUAAUUUUUAUUAUAUUAAAGUAAUAACGGGCUGAUGUUAUUAGUUGGUGGACAAGACACAACCCGUGUAUUCAUGCGGAUUCCAUAUGGACCUGUAUCUAUUUCAUGUUAUUGGUGUGAGCUAGCAAUAGUGUAGGUCUGUAGUAGACUGUGAGCCCAUAAUGGGUGGUGCACUAGGUUAAGGCUUUUAAUCCUAUAAAUAUAAGACUUUUAACAUAAGAUGUAUUCUCAUAAGCUGUCAGUAUUUCCAUAAGCUGUCAGCCGUCAUAAGCAAAGGAGAGAAAGACUCAGCCUAUUUCGUCUUCGAUUAUGUGUUCCAAUGACAGACAAAGGUACGCACCUUAUUUCUCGCAUAUUUCGUUACUUUAUAGGUGUUCUUGGUUUAUGUGAACCUGUGGUGUGUUUCUAUGUUAAUAUAACACUUGGUAUCAAGAGCUUUUCACAUAGAUCUUGAACCCUAUGAACGAAUACUAUGAUGUAUGUUUCGAGAACCUCAAUUUGGUUGUAAUUUAAUUUUCUUUUUCGCUGCGUUUUUUGAUGAUAAAGUGUUGAAGUAGAGGUGUUAAUUGAUGUGAUGACUAAGAGCCCGUUUGGUAGGAUUAAAAGUAUUGCUUUUUAGCUUAAGUGAUUAAAAGCUUAAAAUAAGUGCUUUUAAAUUAAGCAGAUAAGUGUUUGGAUAGAAGUGCUGUAACUGAAAAAAAUCUGUUGAUGUGUUUGGUAAACAAGUGUUGUCAAUCACUUUUUUUGUUGUCAAAAUGACUUAAAUAUCCUUAAAGCUGUUAACACAUAAUAACGUGAAUUAUUUAUGAUUUUUAAUUCUAAUACUUCAAAAAUAAUUUCUAUUUAAAUACACUUGCAACGUAAAGUGAUUAUGCCAGGUCAAUGUAUAAAUAUAAGUUACUUUUUUAUUUUAAAUAUUAAAAAAUAAAAAUUUUAAGAUAUUUUUUAUAUAAAUAUAGUAUUAUAUUGUAAUAUUGCAAGCUUGUAAACAACAAAAAAUUUUUAGCAAUUAAAAUAAACUGUUAAAAAGAAUCAAUUUUUAAAAUUUAAAUAACAUACAGAGAUUCUAUAUGAACGGAUAGAGAAGAACUUACCACAAGCUCGAUUUGACAAUAAAAUUUUUAAGUGUUUUCUUAUGUAAUGAUGGAUUCCCUGAAAAUAAAGGAGAAAGAUGAAGAGAAAACUGGAGGAAAAAGAUAAAAAAAAACGACAAAAAGAAAAAGAAAGAAAAAUCAAUAAGGGUUACAAAGUUUAGAGUAUUGUUGGAAUUAGAAGAAAAUAUAAGAGAUAAAAAGGUAAAUGUUUUCGUCAAGCCUAAAAAAUUUUUAAUCUAAAAAGUAAAAAGCUGAGGGUAUCCAGCUUCUCAAUUUUUGCUUUUUUCAAUCCACUUUUAGCUUUUUUUAAACUCUUUUUAAUUUUACCAAACACCUAAAAAAGCUAAAAAAGUGAUUAAAAUUUAGUUUGACCAGAUUUUAAUCCUAUCCAAACACCCUCUAAGUAAAUACGACGUGAUCUAUUAAAGUUGAAACUCAAUAUGGAUCGAAUUUGUAUGAAUCUUCACUGUCGCUUGCUUAAUAGACUGCAAUAUUUGAAAGACCACUGAUUUAGUAUUGAGAUGGUUACUAGAUAGAUUAUUUGGAACGUCUAUGGAUCUUUGUUUUUCUUUUCUUUUUUCUUUUUGGAUUAUAAUCUGCUCUAAUGCAACUUCUUUACAAAUUUUGUUGGUUCUUUGAAUAAUUGGCAAAGCCGUGAAAGAUGAAACAAGUCGUAGAUAGAGUACCAGAUUAGACAUACGUUGUUAAACAUAAUAAUGAUUUGUAGGCUCCACAAUGUCAUAAGAUAUCAAGCUCUUCUCAAGUUUACUGCUGAAAUUAUUUUAUGACAAUAUUAGUUUUCCAUUUGGUUUAACUGACUUGGAACAUCUCAAAAGGUGUACAUAUGAUUAUGAGUCAGGCGAUGACCAAAUCAAUUAGAUUUGGAAAAACGGAUGAAAUCAAAUCAAUUAGAUUUGGCUUUUAGAAAUUGUGGCGUGUUUUUCGAGUUCUAGGGGUUAUUGUUGUGGGUAAUGGAACAGUUGUUUCUGUUCGAUGUGGAAAUAUGAAAAUUAAUCUACGGAGUGCUGUUACUUUAAAAUAAAAUUGUCUGGAGCUGUAAUUUCAAAAAAAAUAAGAUUGUUGGUAGGAAUUUGAUAAGGUUUCGAAUUAGACUUUGGUAAUAUUAUUGCACAGUAAAGUGUUAUGCUUUCUGUAAGGUAAUGAGAGGAUUUAAUUCGGGUUCUAUAGUGUGAUUAAUAUAUGAAUCACUAUUUAUGUGGGCCAAUAGAAAACCCAGUUGAAUUUUAUUUUUUUUUGAGUUUGGAGAUGUCCUGCGAAGGUAAAGAUAUACAACUUUUCAAAAAAGAAAACUGAACCUAGAUCUUGUGUUGUUUUUUUUUUUUCAUUGGUUAUCCAACUCAUUCUAAAGUAUACAGGUUCUACUGUCUUACAAGGAGAACCAGAAUAGUUGAAACUUAAAAAGCAAAAUUUCUUGUAUGUGAGACUAUUCUAAACUUCGUGGGCAUAAAUUUAUCGAUUAAACAAACAUUUAAGGUAUUUAAUUUCGUACAUGAGAUGGAUUUUAAAAUUGUUGAAGAGCAUGCAUUGUAAGGCCCGUUUUUCCUAAACUUGAAUUGUUUUCAUGUGUACAUGCGUUGUUAGUUUGAAAAGUUAUAUGAAAGCAUGAUUUGGGUGUUACUUCUCUUGUUAUGAAAUCCAUUAUCCUAACAAUGUUAUGGAUUGUUAUUGUUUUAUGAAUGAAUGAGAGGGGUUUUUUUUCCUUAAUUUACAAAUGCUCAUUUUUCUAAUAAAGAAUGUGAAUGUGCAUGUGAUUGAUGAAAGAGAUGACCACCGUAUGAUAAAAUAUAAGUUUUCAUUUGUUUUGAAAUAAGAACUCCUCCUGUGAUGUUUAAAUAUUUUGGGUGGUCAUUAUCAUGCUUUUGAAUAAAAAGGCUAUAGAUGUGAUGUGGUAUGUAAUGAAUAAAUUUGCAGGGAUGAGGUAUGACUUUACUGGGUGUUAGAGAUUUUUCUCACUGUCAAUGUUCUGCACCAUAAUUGAUUUAUCUUGAAUCAUCUUUUUAAUUUCUCUUUUCAAAGCACGACAAUCUUCAAUAUUGUGACCUUGAACAUUAAAAUGAUAUGCACAUCGUACAUUAGGAUCAAAACUUCUUGAAUGUGGGUCAAGAGUAUACCCAAGGAGAGGAGUGAUCAUGCCCUGCUGUACCAAUCUCUAAAAUAAACUUGCAUACGACUCUCCAAUUGGUGUGAAGCUAUCCCUCGACUUCUGCCUUUUAUAAAAAGCUCCUAUUGAAAUACAUCUCUUUAAAGUUUUCGAAUUGUGAAUGAUUUUCAAAGGAAACAAAAAACAAGUUCAUAUUCGGUCCAAAUUGAAAACUCUUGAAAUAUCUCUUCCUGAUACUUACAUUGUUCACACUGCUUUUAACUCUUUGUCUGCCGAGUUUAGCCAAAUGAAAGCUGCCUAUAAUACUUAAGAUGAAUUUUGAUCAAUCAAUGUUCUUAUCUCUAAAUGUGUUGUUGAAGAGGAAAAAAUUUAAAAAAGAGAAGGGUAAGGUUGCCAUGUUAGCUUCUCAUGAUUCCAAAGCAAGCUCUAGCAAAGACCUAGGAAAAUUGAAAGAUCUAAUAAUCAUUGAACAUAUACCCAUCGAUUUGAUACUUUCCGAUCCACUAACUAGGGACUAAGACCCAUAGUUUUUAUGCAACAUGUUCAGAAUAUGGGUGGUGUUGAGUCAUUUGAUUUGCUGGGUUAGUGAGAGUAUUUAAUAUUAUUAUUCAUUUGUCAUUAGACUAUUCACCUUGUUGUUUCAGACUUAUGGUGAUAUUAUCUCUUGAAUUAACAUUUACGUUAUGGUAGAUUUUGGUAUCAUUUAUGUUGAUGAUAUUUUACUUGCUAAUAAUAAUUUGAGACUGUUGCAUGAAACUAAACAUUCAUUGAACAAAAUGUUUGAUAUGAAAGAUCUAAGAGAGACAUCAUUUGUUCUGGGCAUUGAGAUUCAACUAGAUAGAUCUCGUAAGUUAUUGGAGCUUUCACAAAAGGCCUAUAUUGAUCGUAUUUUUAAAAAAGAUUUCAAAUGGAAAAUUUUAAGCCCGAUAAUGUCCCUGUGGUUAAAGGUUAUAAGUUAAGCCUAGAUUUGUAAGAUUCUAUCAAAGAUGUGUCUUAUUCAAGUGUUUUUCCGCUACAUUUCUUGUUUAUAGAGUGUUAAUUUUAUUUAUUUUUUAUAUUGGUUGAAGUACAGUCGGCAAACUAAAGACUUCAUUAGAAUACGUUCUGGCAGCUAUGUUAUUAAAGAUUCAUUCAUUUAUUUAGUUCUAUAUGCUUAGAUUAAAUAAUAUAAAAAGUUAUUUAUUUUAUAAAAAAAUAAAAAAAAUAAAAUUUAAGCUAUUGUUUAUAAAAGAUGUCGAAUUGUUAUUUAUUUAUUUAUUUAUUCUAUUUGAAUUUGGUUUCAUUUGAAUUGCAACUAAAUUAAAUUUAUAAUAUUUUUAAUUGUGUGGUUACUUACUGUGUCACAUGAGUAAAUUAAGCAAUGCAUGUUGAAUCCCUGAGAUUGAAUUUGUUUUGUAAAAUUAGGGUAAAUAGUGUACACCAAAGUGAUCUAUUUGUUUUGCUUUACGAGACCUGUUUAAUCCAUUUCGAGGGAUAUCACUAAGUUAGAAUGUACAAUGAUCUGCCCAAAGAAGAUUUAUUGUGUGUUUUAAAUUAGUAUUGUGAUGCGCCCCAUUAUGUGAAAAUAUUUUGAUUUUAGUAAAUUUAUAAUCUGCCCAAAGAGGAUAGUUUCUAAUAUUGAAAAUAUUUUCUUGCCCUGCUCAAAGGGGGGCUACUUGCUGAUGCUGUGGGACUCAUCGUUGUGAUAAGAUUAUUAUUUUUAUGCCUUGAUAUUUUGAUAAAUUCAUUCAUGUUAUGUUGUGAAAAGUUACUAUUUAUUUGAACAAUAACAAUGCUGAGGUUAUGAUUCUAUCGAGCUCUAACUUUAUGUGAUUUAAAAAAGAUAUUGAAUUUGCUUUGGGCAUGACUGACAUAGAUCAAUCCUUGCAUGAGGAUGAGCCUCCAGCUCUUACUGAUUCUAGUAUAGCUGCUGAAAAAGAAUUUUAUGCUAAGUGGGAGAGAUCUAAGAGGUUAUUCAUCCUUGCCUUUAAAAGGUUGAUUGCUGAGCAGCUCAAAAGUGGCUUGCCUGAAACUAUCGAUGCCAAAAGAUUUCUUGCCCAAGUGGAAGAAAAGUAUUUUGUAUCCAUUAAGUCUGACACUGGAGAUCUAAUGAAUAAAUUUAAUUUGGUUAUGGUUUUGAUUCUCUUAAUGAAAAAUUGAAUUUGCUUUUGAACUUUCGAGUUGUUGGUCAUGGAAUCUGAUGGUUUGUUUAAAAUUUUCUUGGCUUCUGAUUUUGAAUACAACUCUUUUAGUUCUGAAAUUGUUGGGUCUAAAUGAUAAUUUUAAACGAAAAAUCGGGUUUGUGGUGAUACAGGCGUUUAGGUCAUAUCUCUAAGGGUAGAGUUGAUAAAUUGGUUAGUCUAAUAUUUUACCUUCUUUUGAUUUUAGGGACGGAGGAACAUGUAUUGAUUGCAUUAUAGGAAAGUUGAUCAAAAAAAAAUAUUACUCGUAGUUCUGAUUUAUUGAAAAUCAUUCACACAGACAUAAGUGGUCUGUAUUUUACUACAAUAUGUGGUUCAAGUUAUUUUAUCAUCUUCAUUGAUGACUUUCUUCGAUAUGGUUAUAUAUUUCUUAUUAAAGAAAAAUCAGAUUCUCUUGAAAAGUUCAAAGUGUUUAAAACUGAAGUAGAGAAACAACUAGGAAAGGUUAUUAAAAAACGUGAGGUUUGAUCGAAGGGGUGAGUACUAUGGUAGAUACACAGAGAAUAGGCAACAAAUGGGACUCUUUGAUCUUGAGCUACAUCAGAUUGAUGUAAAGACAGUCUUUUGAAUGGUGAUCCUAAUGAAGAGGUUUACAUGCAACAACCUCAAAUUUUUUUUUGGGUAAAAGGAAUGAGCAUCUUGUGUGUAAGUUGAAGAAAUAUAUCUAUAGCUUGAAGCAAACUUUUGGACAGUGGUACUAGAAGUUCGCAAAAAUUAUCACUUUAUGAAAUUUGUGGAGAACAAGAUUGAUCAUCGCAUCUAUCUUAAGAUCAGUGGGAGUAAGUUCAUCUCAAUCUUUUAUUGAUUAUUAUUGUGCACACUUUAAUAUUGUUUUAUUAUAUUAAGGCUUUUGCCUUACGUGUUGGCUAUGUCUCAUAUUGAUAAGAUCUUAUUGUUGUUUUAUUGGAUCUUUCUUUUGGAAACAUAUAUGGUAUAUCAUUCUACCUUGUGGAUUUUCUAAUUGUUGCACCAAGUAAUAUGUUGCAAAUGUUGAACGUUGAAAAUCAAGAUUUUUUGGUGAAGCACAUGUUGUUUUAGUGCUCACACAUGUUGUAACAGAAAAUUGCGGUGACGAUUUUUCUAUGGUACACAUGUUGAUUUUAAGCGUACAUGUUGAUAUAAAAAAUUGUUUGAAGGACUAACAAUGAAAUAACCUCGAUUUAGAGUCCAUAUUGACUAUUUCUUGCUACACUACCACAUCAUUUGAUUUAUGUCUUCAAAACUUCAAUGUUAGUAAUUGUGGACUGAUCUUGUAUCGUUGGUUAAUGCAAGUAUUGCUGCAGUUCAACAGUGUUGUUUUGCUUGACUGAACUAUGUUGGAGAUGGCAUUCCACCACUAAAUAUUUAUGGCCACUGUCUAUUCAGUCCGAGAGUCAUUUUCAUAAAAAUAAAUUUUCCAAAACUUUUCUUUAAAAGUUAACAUUGUCCAAGUGGGAGAAUGUUAGAAUUAUUUAUUUUAUGUGGAUUUAACAUUAACUUUUAUUACAUUAAAGUAAUAACGGACUGAUGUUAUUAGUUGGUGGACAAGACACAGGCCGUGUAUUCAUGCGGAUUCCAUAUGAGCCUGUAUCCAUUUCAUGUUAUUGGUGUGGGCUAACAAUAGUGUAGGCCUGUAGUAGACCUGUGAGCCCAUAAUGGGGGUGCACUAGGUUAAGACUUUUAAGCCUAUAAAUAUAAGGCUAGGUCCCUCUCCUGACUUUAACAUAAGACGUAUUCCUAUAAACUGUCUGUCGUCAUAAGCAAAGGAGAGGAAGACUCAGCCUAGUUCGUCUUCGAUUACGUGUUUCAAUGGCGAACAAAGGUACACACCUUAUUUUUCGCAUAUUUCGUUACUUUAUAGGUGUUCUUGAUUUAUGUGAAUCUUUGUGGUGUGUUUCUAUGUUAAUAUAACAUAAUCAAUAUAUAUUUUACUUAAUUUAAUUACACAACCAUAAUAAAGAACGUUACUUUUAUUUAACCAUAAUAUAUACUUGGGUUUUGUUAUUCCAUUCAUGAAUUUAAUGUUUUGUCAUCUCUACUACAUAGACAAUAUAUAAGACAGUUUUCUUGAUCUAACUAAACUGGGCUCAUGGCAGCUGGUCCCAAAUAUAAUAUGGAGAAAGCUUCUUUCUUACUUUUCUUGAGAAGUCGGUCAAGUUGGUAAAUAUCUUCUGGACCUCCCUUUAGGAAUGGCAUACUGCUCAAAAAAGUUAAACAAAAUUCCAUCUUCUUUAAGGCAUGAUCAAUCUGAUUAAUAACUUGUUUAAUUUGGCCUUCAUGAUAUUUUUUAAUUGCCAAUUCAAUAUCCUGGAUAACUACAUACAUGUCACACUCUGUAUAAUCUUCUGCAGUAACAGGCUUAUGAGCUACUUCCUUUGCAGAUCGAAGAGUUUUUCCAAGAUCAUCGUCACCCAAACAUAUUUCAGGAAUAAAUACUAUUAGGAAAAUGCAUGUAAUGGAAUUUGUACUGGUACGUCCCAUUAUUAUAUUUUUGUUACUUUCUCCUCCUUUGAUUUGAUAUAUCAAAGAGUUUUCUUUUACUUUCUUUUAUACUCCAUCAUUUUUAUAUCAUAAUUAAUUGCAUGCAUGCAUGCAUUGAUUAGGAUGUUCUAUUUAAAUCUAAUUUUUAGAUCUUGAAUAAAUGCGACAUUUAAUAAGACAAAUUCAUCUGAACUUUAGCUUAUAGAUAUAGUAACAACUUUUUACGUUAUAAAAUGUGCCUCCUAAUUGAAGUAUUAGGUGGGAAAGUUUAGUUUUGAUUACUAAUGAAAUAAUUAAAAGCAACAUUGUUUUUUUACCAAUAUUGGACACAUUUGCUCGUGACCUAUAUUUCGUUGCUGUAAGGACCUUACUAUUUUUCAUAUGUUGAAACAGUAAUAUAUUUUCAAGGCUUAAUACAUAACACUUUAAAUUCAUCGGAAUCCUCCAUUGGCAUAAUGCAUAUACAUGCUCUUUAACUUGGUCACAAUUCUCAUUUAUAUCCUCUAAUUUUAGGUGUACAAAAUAAAAACUUAAACCUGUAUAAAGAUGAAUAAGUAGAUACGCAUAUCUUACAUGGCAUAAUACAUGUAGAUUGUAGAACAAUACAUAAAGUGGGAGUUUCUUCGAGUCAUGACAAUCAACAAAUUCUAUAUCUAUAUGAUCCCCUUUUCAAUGCUAGUAAUCGAUUCAAAAAGAUGAUGGGUUCAUACGUUUUUUAAUGGGCCUGUCGUGGGUCGGCCCGUACAGUACUAACCCUUAAGACCCUAGCACAGGUCCAAUUAUCUUGCUAAUUGAUUCAAAAUUUCUAUUUUGUUUUAGUUUAAGAGAAAUUUUGUUUGAGUUAAAGUGACUGGCUGAAACUUCAUGGAGUACGACGGUUCAAUUGAUAAAACAUAGCAAUCAUAUAAAACAUAUAAAUAAGCAAAUGUCGAUGUCAAUAAAGUUAGUAUAUCUUAUUGUACAAGCAUUUCCAAGACGCAGUAAAUCAAUGAGCUAUUUGUGGGGCUUGUCCCAAGACCUUAUUACUUGAGAAAGCUAAUAUUUGUUUCUUAAUAUUGUUGAUAAGUAUACAAGAUUGGCAAUAUCUUCCAUUAUAUCUUUGCGAAUAUAAAACUCAGCCUCAGUUGUUUCUUGACAAAUUGUAAUGUGACUUAAGGCUCCCUCAAUUUGUCUGAUAGCAUUAGAGUCGUCAAAAUGGGGUUUGGCCCUUGACUUAUGGAUUAAAUAUAAUUUUCUUUGCGUGCAUACAUCUAUCAUCCGGCCUCAAAAUAGCCAAAGAAGUACUCUUUUCGAAGUAACAACAUUAAAUUUGGUCUCUUAUAAUCAAUCUAAUUAGGACAAAAAAUACCAACCAAACGGAAGUGUGAUUGCAUUCUUCUUAAAGACGAGAAAUUGAUCUAGAUUCUUUAAAAGUUUAGCCAUAUAUCGGUGGCUCAAAUAACACUCAUAACUAUACGAAGAAGAGUUAGUGAAAAUUUACUGUGAUAUUAAUAUUUCAAAUGAAGUUAUUGUAAAACAUUUCAAAAGAAGAAACGUCGUCAAGUAUGGUGCGGUUGAGAUAAUGCAUGUAAUGUAAUUACGCUCUGCUUUCAUUUGCAAAAGCUAUUUUGUUAACUUCUCUGUUUGUUUAUUCAUGUAUAUUUCGACCACACUUGAUAAUGAAAAUUCUGGCUUAAAUUCGCUCCUGAUGCACAAGGCCACUGACGGUUGCAGUCUUGGAGGCGGGAAGAGAUGGAGGUUCAAACGGCUUAAUUGGUAUACGUGGAAUAAGGGGUUGUUUCGCUACUGGUGAUGGAAAUGGUGCUAAUAGUAUUACAGGUGGCUGAGCAACUGGUGAUGGAGAUGGUGCCAUUUCUGGUGGAUUAGCAAUUAAUGGUGCAGGAGCUGGUGGAGGCGUUUUCUUAGAAAGUGGUGGUGGUGGUGGUGGAGAUGGUUCCUUAACUGGUGGUGGAGGUGGUGGUUGCUUUGCUGGUGAAGGUAGCUUUGCAGACUGACCAGGUGGUGAUGGCUUACAUUGUGAAGGUGGAGGAGGUGACUUAUUAACUGGUGGUGAUGGUGACGAAGGCGUUGGGUUAUUACCAGAACCAAUUGAGAUGCCAGGAAUACCAGGAAUUGUAGAACCCGAACCACCAGGGCCGCUGAGAAAAUGAGGAAUUAAAGGUGAUGAGUCUGUUGACGGCGGAGGUGGUGUUUUUGGUGUUGACGAUGGAGCUGGCGGUGAUGGUGAUGGCGAAGGUGGUGGCUGAGGUGGUGAUGAUGUUGAUGGUGAAGGUGGCGUAGGUGAUGGCGAAGGUGAUGGUGCUGCUAAUGGCCGAGGUGGUGGUGAUGGUGAUGGUGACGGUGAAGGUGGCGGAGAUAAUGGUAAUGGUGAAGGAGGCGGAGAUGAUGUUGAUGAUGACGGCAAAGGUGCUGGUGCUGGUGAAGGCCGAGAUGAUGGUGAUGGUGACGGAGAUAAUGGUGAUGGUGAAGGAGGCGGAGAUGAUGUUGAUGAUGACGGCGAAGAUGCUGGUGCUGGUGAAGGCCGAGAUGAUGGUGAUGGUGACAGAGAUAAAGGUGAUGGUGAAGGAGGCGGAGAUGAUGUUGAUGUUGGGUCCUAUAUGUGUGUUGAAUGGAAAAUGGAGAAAUCAAGUGGAAGAGAAAAUUGAGUUUACACCAAAAUGAAAAGUGUACUCAAAAUUGGCAAGUUUACUCUUUCUCCCACAUUGGUGGAAGAAGAGAACUUGAGAGUGUUUAUAAUGAGAAACACUUACUCCAUAUGGCAAGUGAGGUAAGAAAUAAAUGAUGCCUUGCAUCGUCGUUGCUCGCUCGAUUUCGGAUUCCUAUGUGUUUUUGGACAAACUUUAUUUGAAUUCCGAAGAAUGCCAAGAAAAAAUGCAGUAAAUUUUUACAGCAGAUUUUUGGAACUCCAUUUAUAUAUAUGAAGCGUACAGUAACAGUGAAACAGUAACAGAUGCAAUGGUUUGAAUGAACUGGUGCCUUUUCGAACUGAUGUUGCUACAGAAGGUUGCACUGCUUCAUGAACUGAUGCCCUAUUUUCGAACAGAUGCUAUAGAAAGUUACAAUUGUUCAACGAAAAUACACACUGAUUCACGAAGUGACAUUCCUGUUCGGAACAGAUGCACUGUUUAGGAUAAACAGACAUGCAUUUUCAGGAAAAGUCAUACCUAUAGAUUGAACCAUUGCCACCUUUUCAAAGGGGCAUGGUAUGACUAUAAAUAACCUGCUUUAUUCCACAGGUUUUAUAUGAAAUUUUCAGAUUACAAAAUCAUUCUUCUUGUCUUCAAAAUACUCUUUGUGAUUAUACAAACAGUUGAUUGCGUUCGUAGAAUCUAACUAUUUGAGGUACCGCUAUAGUUGGAUUGUUGGCCAUUUUAUCUUGGGAGGAAAAAUUCCACAACCUCAAGUAUAGUGAGGGGAAUUAUUUCCUAAAGGAAAGUCCGUGAAUUCGGACGACUUGGCCUUAAUCAUUUCUGUUUCAUCUUUAUUUUCUGAAAAAUAAAUAUACCUCUUGAAAAGGUCAUUUUGAUCUUAUGUUGAGUGUAUUUAAUACUUCAUUGUGUUCUUGUUCAUACUUGAACUCGAGUUAAAGUUGUUGUUGCAAUAUACAGCUUCUGCAUACCCAAAUAUAUUGUGGAAAUAACAAUCUUAAGGAAAUAACCUUUACAAAAUCUGUAUUGCUUGUUUUUGGAGAUUAAAGCUUAGGCUUUCUACUCCUCUUGAAUUUAACUAGUGAUUAGAAGACAUAAAAUCUUCAUCACAAGUUAAGGUUCAUUCGGUUGACGAUUCGAAGUAAUAAAAAUUUUAGCGUUAACUAGAAACAAGAAGAAGAGUUUCAAGUUAUUUAACUUUAUAAAUAGUAUUCUGAAAAAUACUAAGUUUUCUGCCUUGUGGUGACAGGAAAAAAUGACAACUGAAAGUCAAAUGAUGGAUGCGACAACGUCUAUAGGGGCAAAUAAUAUUGCCAUAUCAAGUUGCACAAAUGCUCCGCUAACGAUGGCACCGGCGGAGAAGCCCGGAAAAUUUUCGGGCAUUGACUUCAAGCGGUGGAAACAAAAGAUGUUCUUUUACCUCACCACUUUAUGUCUACAACGGUUCACUAGCGAAGACGCUCUUGAGGUGUCCGAGGAAACCUCAGACAAAGACCGCUUCGUUAUUGUAGAAGCUUGGAAACAUUCGAAUUUUCUUUGCAGGAACUAUAUUCUGAGUGGUCUCCAAGACGACCUUUAUAAUGUCUAUAAUGGAACCAAGACAUCAAAAGAACUGUGGGGGGCACUUGAAUGGAAAUAUAAAACAGAGGAUGCGGGAAUUAAGAAAUUCCUCGUUGCACAGUUCCUAGACUUCAAAAUGAUUGAUAGCAAAUCUGUUGUCUCUCAAGUACAGGAGUUGCAAGUCAUCAUACAUGAUAUCCUAGCAGAAGGUAUAUUUUUGAAAAAUACCGUAGUUAAAAAAAUUAAAAAUGUUCUUAGUACUCACAUAAACAGUUUUGUAGGUUUAAUUGUGAAUGAUGCUUUUCAAGUUGCAGUGAUAGUUGAUAAGCUACCACCUUUGUGGAAAGACUUCAAAAAACUACUUGAAGCAUAAACGCAAGGAGGUGACUGUUAAAGAUCUUAUUGUCCGACUUCGUAUUAAAGAGGACAAUAAAUCUGCCGAAAGAAGUUCAAAGGGAAAUUCUACAAUGAAUGAAGCACAUAUUGUAGAAGAUGGCCAAAAAAACACGAAGAAAAGAAAGAAAGUUGAACAUGGAAGCAAUCAACCCAAGAAAAAGUUCAAGGAAAAAUGCUUCAAUUGUGGCAAAAUUGGCCACAAGUCCACAGAUUGUCGAGCCCCAAAGAAAGGCAAGAAAAAGGACCAAGCGAAUAUGAUUGAAUCCAACAAAGAAAGCGAUGAUCUGUGUGCUAUGUUCUCAGAAUGCAACUUGACGGGGAAUCCUUGCGAAUGGUGGAUGGAUUCUGGUGCCACCUGCCAUGUUUGUGCCAACAGAGAGUUGUUUUCGUCAUUUGCUCCGGCUCAAGUAGAGGAAAUGAUCUACGUGGCUAACUCCGCUACUGCUAAGGUGGAAGGAACAGGGAAAAUAUGCUUGAAAAUGACUUCGGGCAAGGUCUUGACACUUAACAAUGUCUUGUAUGUUCCCGAAUUACGUAGGAAAUUAAUCUCCAUUUCACUUCUAGAUAAGAACGGAUUUAAAUGUGUAACCGUUUCUGAAAAAAUUGUAAUUAGCAAAAGAGAAAUAUAUGUAGGAAAAGGCUAUCUCACCGAGGGCCUUUAUAAGAUGAAUGUAAUGACUGUUGACAUAAAUAAAAGUUCAAAUUCUUCUUAUUUUCUUGAGUCUUAUGAUUUAUGGCAUGAACGUUUAGGCCAUGUUAAUUACAAAACUUUACGAAAACUGAUUAACUUAGAAGUUUUGCCAAACUUUGAGUGCAAUAAAUCUAAGUGUCAAACGUGUGUGGAAUCAAAGUAUGCAAAACAUCCUUAUAAGUCCGUUAAAGGAAUUCCAAUCCCUUAGACUUAAUACACACUGAUAUUUGUGAUAUGAAGUCAACACCAUCUCGUGGUGGGAAAAAGUAUUUCAUAACUUUUAAUGACGAUUGCACUAGAUAUUGUUAUGUCUAUUUGCUAAAUUGUAAGGAUGAAGCAAUAGAUGCAUUUAGGCAAUAUAAAACUGAAGUUGAAAAUUAGUUAGACAAAAAGAUCAAAAUUAUAAGAAGUGAUAGGGGCGAAGAAUAUAAAUCUCCCUUUGCGGAAAUAUGUGUAGAGAAUGGAAUAAUCCAUCAAACUACGGCCCCAUAUUCACCUCAAUCUGAUGGAAUUGCGGAAAAAAAAAAUCAAACUUUGAAGAAAAUGAUGAAUGCCUUACUUAUAAGUUCUGAUUUACCACAAAACUUAUGGGGGGAGGCUAUCCUUAUGGCUAAUCGUAUACUCAACAGAGUUUCCCAUAGUAAGACACAAUCAAUUCCUUACGAAAAAAGGAAAGGAAGAAAACCUAACUUGAAAUAUUUAAAAGUGUGGGGUGUCUAGCGAAGGUUCAAGUUCCUAUACCUAAAAGGGUUAAGAUAGACCUAAAAUGGUGGACUGCGUGUUCAUAGGAUAUGCUAAAAGUAGUAAAGUAUGUCGAUUUUUGGUUCAUAAAUCCGAACAUCCUAAUAUUAGUGAAAAUACGGUAAUUGAAUCAGACAAUGUUGAAUUCUUUGAAAAUAUUUACCCGUAUAAAAUUAGACAUGAACAGUCUAGUGGAGGAUCUAAACGACCCCGAGAUGAACCAAGUGAGAAUGUACAUAAUGAAGAAAAUCCAAGACACAGUACACGUCAAAGAACGUCAACUUCGUUUGGAUCGGAUUUUGUAACAUUUCUCUUAGAAAAUGAGCCUCAAACAUUUAAAGAAGCGAUGUCUUCGUCAGACUCAUCCUUUUAGAAAGAGGCACUCAAUAGUGAGAUAGAUUCAAUCUUAAAUAACCAUACAUGGAGUUGGUUGACCUUCCUCUCGAAAAUAAACCUUUAGGUUCUAAAUGGAUCUUCAAAAGAAAAAUGAAAGUGGAUGGUACUAUUGACAAAUACAACGCAAGGCUUGUAGCAAAAGGCUUCAAAAAGAAGGAAGUCCUUGAUUACUUUGAUACAUACUCGCCAUUAACAAGGAUAACCUCGAUUCGAAUGUUAAUUACCUUGGCGGCGGUAUAUGAUCUUAAAAUCCAUCAAAUGGAUGUGAAAACCGCAUUCCUAAAUGGAGAUUUGGAGGAAGAAAUUUACAUGAAACAACCUGAGGAUUUUGUGGUUUCAGGAAAGGAAAACAAGGUGUGUAAACUUAUCAAGUCAUUAUAUGGACUAAAGCAAGCACCAAAUCAAUGGCAUGCAAAGUUUGACCAAACCAUGUUGGCAAACGGAUUCAAAAUAAAUGAAUGUGAUAAAUGUGUUUAUAUUAAAGACACUCCAAAUCACCAAGUCAUUGUAUAUUUAUAUGUGGAUGAUAUGUUGAUCAUCAGUAGAGAUAUUUCUGGCAUAAAUGCAACAAAACGAAUGCUCGAGAGCAAGUUUGAUAUGAAGGACCUUGGAGUUGCAGAUGUGAUCUUAGGUAUAAGAAUCCAUCAAACUCCACGAGGGUUGGCAUUAUCACAGUCUCAUUAUAUCAAAAAGGUACUUGACAAGUUUAAGUAUAUGGAGUUCGGUAUUGCCAAGACUCCAUUGGAUGCGAUAUUUGCACUUCGAAAGAAUGAAGGUGAAAGUGACUCGCAUGCGCUAUCAGUAAAUUGAGUCGGUACACGAGUAAUCCCAACAAAACUCACUGGAUGGCAAUGAAAAGAGUUUUGGGGUAUCUUAAAUACGCUCAAAAUUAUGUUUUGCAUUAUAAUAAAUAUCCUACGGUACUUGAAGAUUAUAGUGAUGCAAAUUGGAUCAUCGGAUCGAACGAAGUAAAAUCCACAAGUGGAUAUGUAUUUACUAUCGGUGGAGGAGCAGUCUCUUGGAAAUCAUCCAAACAGACGUGUAUUGCUUACUCUACAAUGGAAUCUGAAUUUACUGCAUUAGAUAAAGCCGAUGAAGAAGCAGAAUGGCUCUGAAAUUUCUUGGAAGAUAUUUCGUAUUGGCCCAAGCCAGUGGCACCAGUAUGUAUACACUGUGAUAGCCAAGCAGCAAUAGGUAGGGAGGGAGCAUGAUGUAUGACGGUAAAUCUCGUCAUAUAAGACAAAGACAUAAUACCGUUAGAGAACUUCUCUUUAAUGGAAUUAUCGAUGUAGACUAUGUAAAGUCAAAGGAUAAUGUGUCGGAUCCAAUUACAAAAGGCUUAUCUAGAGAAGGAGUAGAAAGGACAUCCAAGGAAAUGGGUUUAAGGCCUAGGACAAGUCAGCAUGGCGGUAACUCUACCUAGCAGACUGGAGAUCACAAGAGCUAGGUUUAAGGAGAUCAAACAAAGUUGUGUCUGACAGGUUCAACAUUGUCAAAUACCCAACCCAUUUUCAUGAUGUAGAUAAUGUAUAGUAAACAAGGAUAAGACUUAAGGUGAAAAGUCUGUUAAUGAUUAUCUAAAUUUGGCAGAUGUUACCAAAUAGUUUAAUCUACAGAAUUGAACGUUUAGAGAUCACCUAUGCGAGGGCGAAGUGGAAGUCGCUUCAAAGAGAAUCUUAGUAAAAGCCUAUUGUCUAAGCUCUCAUGAAAACCGGGACGUGUUCAUGGCUGAAAAGAACAAAACCGUAAGAACCAUAAACGGUAAAAGGUUGGUUGUGUGACAUGUGUUGUUUAGGUGUAUAUUAAAGCUCGACGGUUCAAAGAUAUCAAAUCUACCGAUUGACCGAGUGCAUCCGAUGCAUGUUCACUACAGAAAGUUCAAAGGGAAACCACUUAUCCAGAUGCAAUCAGUCUUUGCUUGAUGAUCACAUACUUGUCCGUAAAACUUAUACGAAAAAUAACCAUUCCCCAUUCAUGUGGGGGAUUGUUGGGUUCUAUAUGUGUGUUGAAUGGAAAAUGGAGAAAUCAAGUGGAAGAGAAAAAUUGAGUUUACACCAAAAUGGAAAGUGUACUCAAAAUUGGCAAGUUUACUCUUUCUCCCACAUUGGUGGAAGAAUAGAACUUGAGAAUGUUUAUAAUGAGAAACACUUACUCUACAUGGCAAGUGAGGCAAGAAAUAAAUUAUGCCUCGCACCGUCGUCGUCUUCGCUCGCUCAGCUCGACUUCAAAUUUAGAUUUGGAUUUGGAUUUGGCAAAUGAUCGAUCGAUGGGAUCUAUCUUUAUUUGGACAAACUUUAUUUGAAUUCCGAAGAAUGCCAAGGAAAACCGUCGUAAAUUUUUACUGUAGAUUUUUGGAACACCAUUUAUAUAUAUGCAACGUGCAGUAACAGUGGAACAGUAACAGAUGCAAUGGUUUGAACGAACUGGUGCCUUUUCGAACUGAUGUUGCUGCAUAAGGUUGCACUGCUUCAUGAACUGAUGCACUAUUUUCGAACAGAUGCUACAGAAAUUUGCAAUUGUUCAAUGAAAAUACACACUAAUUCACGAAGUGACCUUCUUGUUCUGAACAGAUGCACUGUUUAGGAUAAACAGACAUGCAUUUUCAGGAAAAGUCACACCUAUAGAUUGAACCAUUGCCACCUUCAAAAGGGCAUGGUAUGGCUAUAAAUAACCUGCUUUUGAACCAUUGCCACCUUCAAAGGGGCAUGGUAUGGCUAUAAAUAACCUGCUUUAUUCCACAGGUUUUAUAUGAAAUUUUCAGAUUACAAAAUCAUUCUUCUUGUCUUCAAAAUACUUUUUGUGAUCAUACAAAUCGUUGACAGUGUUCAUAGAAUCUAACUAUUUGAGGUACCUCUAUAGUUGGAUUAUUGUCCAUUUUAUCUUGGGAGGAAAAAUUCCACAACCUCGGGUACAAGAGGGGAAUUAUUUCCUUAAGGAAAGUCCGUGAAUUCGGACGACUUGGCCUUAAUCAUUUUUGUUUCAUCUUUAUUUUCUGAAAAAUAAAUAUACCUCUUGGAAAGGUCAUUUUGAUCUUGUGUUGAGGGUAUUUAAUACUUCAUUGUGUUCUUGUUUAUACUUGAACUCGAAUUGAAGUUGUUGUUGCAAUAUACAAAUUCUGCAUACCUAAAUAUAUUGUGGAAAUAACAGUUGAUGAUGACGGAGAAGGUGAUGGUGAAAGUGGAGGUGGCGGAGAAAAUGAUGAUGGUAACGACGGAGGUGGUGAUGGUGACGGUAGAAGUGGUGAUCGAUAGCGGCGGCAGCGUGGCCAGUUGCGGCUAUAGCGGCAACUAGGAAAAUAGCGGAUGGGGGAGGUGGAAGGUGAUGAAAGAAAACUAAGUUGCGGUAUGGCUCAUUUAUGUAAACCAUAUUAGUUGAGAGGAUUGGAUCAGUGUCUUUUCCAUGACUGAGCUCUAACAAUGUGUCAACUAGUACAAGUAAAAGUAACUAUAUUAGUAGGUCCUUCCCUGAAAUAACCAUAAUUACGUUGGAUUAAGGAUGUCAAAUUGUCGAUGUAUUUAUAGAAAGUUAGGACUAUAGGACAGAGCAAAGUUUAUUUGAAACCACACAUUAAAAACUUGUACAAGCUCCCCUUGGUGAUACUAUAUAACUAUAAGCGAAGAACGACACAUAUUUUUAUUACGUCCAAAAAAAAGUGACAUAUAAUUAUUUUAGGCAAAAUGCUCUAUUGGACCCCUCUACUAUGUCAGUUUUAUAAGUUGGACACUCCUACUUACAUAUUUAUCAUCUGGACCCCUGAACCUACGAAAAAACUACAUUUUAAGCACUUUUUUGAAAAGUGUAACACACUCUCCCAUGUUAGCUGCCACAUCAGCUGCCACGUGUGUCAGUCAUCUGUCACGCGUGUCACGUCAUCUACCACGUCAUUUUAAAAAUAAAAUAAAAAAAAUAGAAAAAGUAUUACAUUAAAUUUCAAGUCAUUUUUAAAAUGCUACAUAACAAAUUAAAUAUUAAAAUUAAUUUAAUUAAAUAAGAAAAAUUUGAAUAAUCAUGCUUUUAAAAUUUAAAAAUAUUUGAAUAAUCAUUUUUAAAAUAAAAAAAGUAUUACACUAAAAUUAAUUAAAUAUUAAAAUUAAUUUAAUUAAUUAAUUUAAAUUAUUAAAAAAUUAAUUAAUUAAAUUCUUAACAAAAUAAUUUAUUUAAAUUAAUUAAAUUUUAAAUUAAUUAAUUUAUCAAUUUAAAAUUCUUACCUAAUUUAAAUAAAUUUUACUUAAAUAAUUAAUUAAUUUAAAUAUGAUUUACAUAUUUAAAAUAUUUAAUUUAAAUUAACUGUAGGAGGGAGGGGCUGGGUGGGUCCGGGGGAGGGGCUGGGGGAAUUUAAUAAAUUUUAAUAUUAUUUUUAUUUUUUAAAAAUUAUUUUAAUGUAAAAUUGGCCAAAAAUUAACCCCCACUCGCACCCCUAGGCGAGUGGUUACACUCUGUCACAUCUCUUUUCAGACCGAAGGGAUCGAGUCGAAUGGAUUUUUCCAAAUGAAAUGACGGUUUUGAAUAGGGAUUAGUUUAUUUACAGAGUCGCCACUUGGAAUUGAGUUAUGUUGUUCCAAGUCACCUUUUUGAAUCCCUAAUCAAAAGGAAAUGACUUUUAUUUGGUCUGCGAAAACAGAAGCCUGGAUAAGGAAUUCUGUUGACCAAGAGGAAGGUGUGAGGUACCCCUCGAGUCCCGUGGUUCUAGAACGGUCGCUUUUAUUGACUUAUCUUGACUUAAAUUAUUUUAAUAAAUUAUGUUAAGGCCUAAAAUCACUCAUUUUUAAUUAUAUCGAAAAUGACUGUCUACACCUCUUAUGUUAAAUAAAUUGGUGAAAAAUAAUUUUAAAAAAAUAUUUAUCAAGAUGCAUUUUUUCAUCCUUGAAUUUUUAAAAUAUCUCAAAAAGAUGUGUGCGCCGCAUUCUUAAUCGAGAUAAAAUUUAAAAUAUAUUAAAACGAGACUAAAAAUUGUCUAAUAUUAAAAACACUGGUUGACUCAUUAUAAAUUCGUAAUAAUAACAAUUUUUUUAUUAUUUUAUUUCACCUAAUUUCUUAUAUUUAAUUAGUAUAACAAAAAUACAAUAAAAGAUUCUAUAUAACAAGAUUUAAAUCAUGAACGAAAAGACAAAUAUAUGUUACAUGAGAUAAUUCAAGUAAAAAUGUAUAUACGGGUUCUUAACUAAAAUUAAACAUUACCUUUUUUGAUCUUAAAUAAAUACAUUUUUUGAUUUUUUUAUUAGAAAAAAAUAAAAUAAAAAAAUAAAAGGACCAAAGAGACAAUUUUUAAAACAAUGACUAAAGAAAAUCUCUCUCGUCAAAUCUGUGUAAAAAAUAAAUUAAAAAUCUGUUUGUUAAAAAUAGUAAAACUGAAGUGAUAAAAAAAAAUUGACGUCACUUUAAUGGCAUUGUAAGCAACAAUGGAAACAUAAUAAAAUUAGUCAGAUCUUAAAUGUUUCUGGCGAGCAAUGGUAGUUGGUCAGCUUAAUGCGCUAAAGUUCAUCAGCGCAAAAGAGAAAGGAGUGGCGCGGGGAAGGAGAGAUGGGAUGUCGGAGCAGCGCGGGGAAGGGGCGAGGGGGACGACAGAACAGGGCGAAAAAGGGAUGAAUGUGGUCAGCCAUGGUGACUGCUGGUUUAUGCGUUUUUCGGCGGGUUUUCACCGGAUCUUAUUUUGGAUUUUGUUGAUUACCAAUGGGUUUCGCCGGAAACGAGAAUGGGAAUAUUGGUCAGUUGUUUUCUUGCUUUCCGAUGGGAUAUAGGAAGAUCACUGGUGUAACAGUGAUUCCGGCGAGAUUUCGCCGGAGAAAUGGGUUGUCAAACUGAUUUUCCUGGGUUCUCACUUUUUUUUUUUUUGUGAUAUUAACACAUAAUAAUUAAACAUUCAAAACAUAUGUACAAAUACAUAUAUGCAUUUUAUAGUUUGAUCAAUAAUAUGCCAUGACAGAAAGUGCUAAAUAAUACUCAAGGUUACUAGGAUAUUUUUAUUCAUGCUUUUACACAAUGAAGUUUACAAAAUAAAUAAUACAGGAUUGAAUAGAAUCUAUAGUGAAUGAACAAAGAUACUGAUUACUAGAAAACUCCAACUUCAAACUCUAAAAAUGUUCUCCCUUUUCUUUUAUUUUCUUCCCUACUUCACUUGUUUUCUCCCCUUUUUUACUGAUUUUGAUAUUUUAUUUGGUAUGGUUUCUGAUGUAGUAACUGUGUAAAAAAUAUUUGACGGUGAAUGUAUGUCCGUAGAUUUCUGGGGAGGAUCUUUAAGUACAGAAAUUUGGGGAGUAGUUACCUUUUGAAAAAAUAACUAAUGGUUAGAUAAAAGGAGAACUCAAAAUUUAAAUUAAUUAUUAUUUUUAAUUUCUAGAAGAUAAUAAUAAUAAUAAUAAUAAUAAUAAUAAUAAUAAUAAAUAAAGAUAAUGAUAAUAAUAAAUAUAAUAAUAAUUAAUUAAUUUUUAUAUUUAAUAAAAACAUAAUAAAAAUGUAUAAAUAGACAAAAUAAAUAUAAGAAAAUAAUAUUUAAAACUACUAACUUAUUUAUUUAAAAACAAACAUAUUUAUUUAUUUUUUUUAUUUUUAAAUUUUUGUGUUAUUUUUUAAAAAUUGGAAUAACAUAAAUAAUAUCCUAAAAUUAACUUCAUUUAUUUAUUUAUAUAUUUUUUUAAACUAAAAAUUUAUUAAAAAUAAGAAUUAAAAUAAUAUCGAAUCAAAUAUAAAUAUUUUAAUAUCGAAAACUAUAUAUAUUACAUCCGGGAAGGGUCAAAAUUCACGUGUCUACACACUCUUUAUCCUAGUCACCAUGACCUUGCCACAUAAGCAAGGUCAACGAACAAAGGUCAAAGGGUGCGAAAUGUUGAUUUUUGAUAGGCUCAAGAGUUCAGAUGACAAACAUGUAAGUAGAAGUGUCCAACUUACAAAACUGACAUAGUACAGGGGUCCAAUAGAGUAUUUUUUCAUUAUUUUAUGAAGAAACCUUCCAAUUUGUUACGGUUUCAUAAUUAUAUUCCAUCAUAAUUUUCUUUAUGAUAAUCGUUUUUGUGAUGAAUUUUCCUUCAUAAAUAUGGUUUUUACUUUUUUUUUUCUUUACUUUUUUUAAAGAAAAACAGAUUUUAUUAUAAGCAAAUAUGUACAAAGCAUAGGAGGCAUCCCUCCAUGUACCUACUUAGUAUGAGACACUCUCCAUACUAUGGAACAAGUAGGAUUUCUAAUAAACUCUCAAAAAAACAUCUAAAGAUGCUCGCCUCAACAUUGAGAGGGAUCAUCAAGGUACAUCAAAAGUGUAGUUCCUAUACAAGUUUCUAUCCAUAUAAAAUGAGUUCUUACAAUAUUUUUUUUCGAAAAGAGGGAUAAUUCAUUAUAUCCAUGUUUAAGGCUCCUCUAACAUUCCGGGGUAAUUGUCGAAAGUCGUAGAUCCAUUGAAUAUCAGUGAAUUGUAUUCCCCAGUUGGCUAGACCAUCAGCUACCUUGUCACCUUCCCUGAAACAAUGGGAAAUAUGCCACAUUUUCACUUGAUCUAGUAAAUUUUUUAUCCUUGUUAGAGAGCUCCAUAUGUUCCAGGGUGGCUUACUUGAAUUGUUAAUCCACUCUACUAACAAUUUCGAGUCCAAUUCCACUUCUAAUUGUCUAACUCCUUUUGUUACACACCAUUCUAGACCAAUCUCUAGAGCUAAAGCUUUGCACUGGGUUCUUUCCAAAAGUUAGCCACCAAGAUAUAAUUUGAUGUUCGAAGCUAUUUUGCCCCUCAUUGAUUCCAAACAACCUGCAAUAACAUCUUCAAAUAUCUUGAGCAAUCUUUCCUUUGUGGAAUAGAUGCUCAACAUCUUCCUGCUCAAAGUUAGUACAACAAAAACAUCUAGAUGAAAGAUGAACUUUAAACUUAAUUAAAUUUAAAUCAACUGCAACCUUAUUCCUUAAUACUUUCCAGAGAAAAAAGGAAAUUUUAAAAGAAUUUUUUUUGUGCCAAAUCAUUUUGUUAAAGAAGUUUGAGUCUUUCUAGCUCCUGAUAGUUUUCCAAGAUGAUUUACUAUCAAAUCUUCCAUCUGUAUUAAUAGUCCAGAUUGGAAAAUCUUCAAGAUUAGAAGAGUUAAUAGUAAUCUCCUGAAUGAUGUUAACAAUAUUUAUAGGAAGAUUCUGACGAAUUUUGAUGAAAUUCCAAGUACCGUUUUGUAUGUAAUCCGACACUUUGAUUCUAAUCGAUGUAGAAGCUUCAGCAUAAUCAACUAAUUCGCCUAUUUCAGUCCAGUUGUCCCACUAAAAGCUUGAGUUGUCUUUGUUGAUUCUCCACUGAAUAAGGUGAUCAACUUUUUCUUUAAUCUUCAUCAUUCUUCUCCAAUUGUAAGAAUGUUUAUAACUCUAUUUCCUAGACACUGGGUGGAUUCUUUUGGAAUACUUGGCUUUCAUGAAUCUAGUCCACAUGGAGUCUUUAGGUUCUAAAUUGCCACCAUAACUUGACAGCAAAACUUUCUGAAAUAUCGUGGAUGGACCUGAUACCAAUACCCCCUCCUCCAUAGGAAAGCACAUACUGUUCCAGGAAGCCCAAUGAUACUUUUGUUUUCCUUCUUUACUUCCCCAGAAAAAACUAGCAAAAAUACUAUCCAUCUGUUUAAGGAUUGUCUCUGUAGGCUGACAAACAGACAAGAGGUGAACAAACAUCGCAUUUAAAACAUGCUUAAUAAAAAUUAUUUUACCUCCAGCUGAUAGUUUAUUACAAUGCCAUGCUCCCACUCUUUUUAUUAUCGUGGAAGCCAUGUCAGCAAAGUAUUGAUUCAAUUUUUUUCCUGCAAACAAUGGGCAUCCCAAAUAAUAAAUGGAGAAUUCUUCCUUUUUCACUUAAAGCAAGUUUUCGACGAUGUUGAUCCUGUUUUGAGAAAUGCCCUUGUCCAUAAUGAAGCAACUUUUCUCUCUGUUUAUCAAUUGUCCUGAAUUCAUAUGACCUGAGGCAAUCAGUGAUGAGUCUCAAGGUUUUAGAUUUACCUGAACAAAAGAUAAUCAAGUUGUCAGCAUAAGCUAAAUAAUUAAUCCUUGGUUCGUUGGGAUCCAUACUGAAUCCGUUAAAUCUAGAAUUAUCAUAUAAUUUAUUAAGCAUAAUGGAUAGUACUUCGGCAGUUAUUAUAAAUAGAGAAGGAGAUAUCGGAUCACCCUGUUUAACACCUCUAUGAGAUUUAAAAAAUCCAUGUCUUUUGCUAUUUAUAAUGACUGAAUACCAAUUAUUGGAGAUAAGAUUCCAAAUCAUAUAAAUCCAUCUUUCAUCAAAACCCAUUCUUCUCAUAACAGAACAAAUAAAGCGCCAAGAAAUUCUAUCAUAAGCUUUAUUCAUAGCAAUUUUGAAAAUCACAUUUCCCCCUUUGUUUACUGUUUUAAUCUCAUGGAUAAUUUUUUGGGCAAGUAAAACAUUUUCUCCAAUUUCUCUACCUUUAAUAAAAUCACUUUGAUUAAGAGAAAUGAUAUUUGGAAGGAUCAAAGUCAACCUAUUAUUUACAACUUUUGAAAUUAUUUUUUGAAUGACAUUGCUAAGACUAAUAGGUCUAAAGUCUGAAAAAGUUUGGGGGAUCUCCACUUUAGGAAGCAAUACCAGACAAGUACUAGUAAAAAAGUUCACCAUUAAAAAUAUUUUUAACUAAUAAAACAAUAUCUAAACCAGUGAUAUCCCAAGUCUUUUGAAAGAAGAGACUAGUGAAACCAUUAGGGCUUGCUGAGCUAUUGGGAUUGAUCUCAAAGACAACACUUUUAUUUUCUUUCCUCAGUAGGAUCUUGAAGUAAAGAUUAAUUGUCUUCCUCACUGAUGCAUUUGAUGAUGUUGUCCAGAAUAGUCAUAUCAAUGUUGUGGUCAUCUUGAGAGAAUAACUGCUGAAAAAUCAGCUGCUGCUAUACCAAUAUCAUUUUCACCUUCUAAGCAAUUCUCCCCCACUUUUAUUUUAUAAAUUUGUAGAAAUUUUCUUCUACCUUUCACAAUAGUUUGAAAAUAUUUUUUAUUCUUAUCCCCUUCCAAAUUUCAUUUCAAGUUUGCUUUUUGCCUCCAGAAAGUAUCCACAUACUUGUGGUGAAUAAUCAACUCUGCUUUGGAUUUGUUCAUGUUUAUCCUAUCUUGUUGAUCCAACGAAGAUAUAUACUUUUCUUCAUAAUAUUUGACUCGAUCUUUCAUAAAUUGAGACUUCUCAAAGAUGUUGCCGACUUCGAUUUUAAACCAGUGAGUGAGAGCUUUGCUAGUUCUCUUUAAUUUCUGCUGAACUUGCCAAAAUAUGUUGUCAUUAUCAUGAGAUGUCCAACAACUCUUGACCACUUCAUGAAAUUCAUCUAAAUCAGUCUAAAAUAAAAAAUCAAAAGUAUUUAAUGUGGGUAUCUUGAAUGCUUCCAAGAAUAAUAACGAGAGGGGCAAUGAUCUAAACUGACUCUAAUCAUAUGUUGAACAUUGCAAAAGGAAAAAUAGUCAUCCCAUUUUUCAUUACACACCAUCCUAUCCAACCUUUUCCAUAUUAUCUCUUGUCCUUUUCUCUCAUUGCACCAAGUAAAAGUGUUUUCAAUAUCUCUCAAACCACAAUCAUGGAGACACUCUAUAAAUGGAAUGCUUUUUCUUAGCCUGUAUAGUUUGCCCCCCAUCUUUUCUUCCUUAAAUAAAAUGCUGUUGAAGUCUCUGAUGACUACCCAAGGAGCAUUAAUGGUAGUAGAAGACACACUCAUAUAUCUCCACAAAUCUUUCCUUCCCAAAGCCUGGAUUUUGCAUAAACAAUAGAAAUGAAGAAAUAUUUCUAUUUAUCUUGAAUUUUGCAAGUCACCAUUUGGUCUUCACUAGAGUAGAUAAAACACUCAAUAUUGUGUUUCCAAAAAAUUCAGAUCUUAUUACUACAAAUAGCGUAACACCCUUUCAUAUCAAGAGACUGCAUAUAUAGUUCAAUUUUUGUUUCUUUGACGAAAGGUUCCUACAUCGCUACCAGAGAUAUAUCUUGGCUAAACUAACAAAAACUUUAAUCUCUCAGUAGAGGCUUGGGACUUCAUACCCCUAAUGUUUCAAUUAAGCAUUCUGAUCAUUAUUCAACUUUGCUAAUUGAUAUGUUGCUUUCUAACAAUGGUGUUAAAUGUUAAUAAGGGGAAAUGAGGUCACGUUACAUUGUCAUGCAAUAUUUUUCACUGUUUCGCUAUCUCUCAAGUAGAGUUUAAAACUAGGGAUAAUUACAUAAUUUAGUCAAUAUUGAAUUCUAAUUACCUAAUUUAGCCUACUUUCAAUUAAUUACAAUUCAUAGUCUCCUCUUGCCUAUUAAUUUUUCAUAAUUACAAUUCAUACUCUCUCUCAUUUAUUUUUUCUUUUUCUCUAUUUUCUAUUACUUCCCUCUUUUUUCCUUUUUCCUUUUUUUCUUUUCUUUGUUUUUUUUUCGUUUUCUCUUUCUUUUCUUUUUUCAAUUUUUUCUUUUUCGUUUUCUUUUUUACCUUUUUAUUUUUUGCCCUUUUUUUUGUUUUUUUGUUUAUUUUCUAUUAAUCUUUUUUUUUUCCUUUUUCUUCAUUUUUUCUAUUCCUUUUUUUGUUCUCUUUCUUCUUUCUUUUUAAAAAUUUUUCUUUUUCGCUGUCUUUUUUUUCAUUUUGUCUUUUUUUUUUCUUCUUUUCUAUUUUAUUUUUUCCUCUAUUUUCUAUUACUCUUUUUCUUUUUUUUUUUCUCCUUUUUUUCUUUUUUUGUUCCUUUCAUUUUUCUCCUUCUUUUCAUUUGUACGAACUAGCAAACACAAAUACAAGUGUGAACUAUGAUACAAUUUCUUAUUUUUCAUUUUCUUUUUUUCCUUUUGUAUUUUUUUUCCUUUUCAUUUUUCUCUUUAUUUUUGGCUUUUUUGUCUAUUUUCUACUACUCUUUUUUUUUUUUCUUUUUUCUUCAUUUUUUCUUUUCCUUUUUUUGUUUUCUCUUUUUUCUUACUUUUUUCAAAAUUUUUUCGUUAUCUUUUUAUCAUUUUGUCUUUUUUUUUCUUUUUCUUCUUUUUCUUUUUAUUUUUUUCUCUAUUUUCUAUUACUAUCCUUUUUAUUUGUAUUUUUUUCCUUUUUCUCAUAUUUUUUCUCCUUUUUUGCCUUUUUAUUUUUUCUCUUUCUUUUCAUUUGUGUGAACUAACAAAUACAAAUAUAAGUGUGAACUAUGUUUUAAUUUUUUUUUCUUUUUUCUUUUUUUUCUUUUUCUUUUUUACCUUGUUAUUUUUUCACCUUUUUUUUAUUUUUUUUGUCUAUUUUCUAUUACUCUUUUUUUUUCUUUUCUUUUUUCUUCAUUUUUUUGUUUUCUUUUUUUUAUUUUGUAUUUUUUUUCUUUUUAUUUUGUACCUUUUUAUUUUUUCUCCUUUUUCUUUUUUGUCUAUUUUCUAUUACUCUUUUUUUUUCUUUUUUCUUUAUUUUUUCUUUUCCUUUUUUGUUUUCUCUUUCUUCUUUCUUCUUUCUUCUUUCUUUUUUCAUGUUUUUCAUUUUCGUUGUCCCUUUUUCAUUUUGUUUUUUUUUUUCUUUUUGUUCUUUUCCUUUUUAUUUUUUUCCUUCUUUUUUUUAUUUCUUCUCUAUUUUCUAUUUCUCUCCUUUUUUUUUUUGUAUUUUUUCUCCUUUUUCUCACAUUUUUUCUUAUUCUUUUCAUCUGUGCGAACUAGCAAACAAAAAUACAAGUUUGAAUUAUAAAAUAUAAAUACAAAAGCGAAUUAUAACUUACAAAUAUAAGUGGAAACUAUAAAAUACAAAUACAAAUUAUAACAUAUAGAUACAAGUGCGAACUAUUAUUUGUAUUUUUUAAUUAUUGAAAAGGAACGAUUGAUUUUCAUUUUACGAAUACUUGUUUGUAUUUAUUUAUACGAGUUGCAUUUAUUGAUACAAAUAAAUACAAUUCAAUUUCUUAUAAAAAUACAAUAUAUACAAAUACAAUAUGUAUUUGUAUUGUUAAAAUCAUUGGUUUCAUUUGUUUGUAAUUGUAUUUGUAUCAAGUGAUAUUUAUUUAUUUACAAAUAAGAAUAAUAAUUUUGACAUACAAAUAUAAAAUGGUACAUUGGUAUCAAAUGAUACAUUGCAUAUUUAUAUAUUUUAAAAUCAAGAAAAUACAAUUAAUGCAUUUACUUGUUUGUAUACAAAUAUAAAUGAUAAAUUGUACAUAAUCACGGUUAAAUACAAUAUGCAAUCAACUUACAAAUACAAAAUAAUUCUUUAAAAAUAAAAAGACAUCGACGAAAAUAGAAUACAAAUACAAAUAUGAUCUAAAUAUACCAACACAAUAAAAUCAUAAUACAAAUAUAAUCCAAUAUAAUACACAGUCAAUUAUAAAAUACAAAUACAAAGUAUUUUUUAAAAUACAAGUACGAAUUAUAUAAAAUAUAAAUGAUGGGGUGAACUAACAAAUACAAAUACAAGUGUGAACUAUAAAAUUCAAAUAUAGACGCGAACUACAAAAUACAAAUACAAGCGCAAACUUUAAAAUAAAAAUACAAAUAUAGUUGUAAAAAUAUAAAUGACGACGUGACUACAAAUAGAUAAACAAUUAUGGUGUUUACGUUAUCAUCAAUGACUUGUGCUUGAAUAGUUAUAUUUUUUAAAAAUACAAAAAAUAUAAAAUAGAACAAAAAAAAUGAUAAAGAAAAUAAGUACAUAAAAGAAAAGAAAAGGAAAAAAAAAAGAAAGAGAGUUAGAAGAGAGAAAAAUAUAUAUAAAAAAUGAAAAAAAUAAAAAUAUGAAAAAUUUAAAAAAAGAAGAAGAAAAAUCGAGGAAAACACGAAAAAGAAAAAAUAAAAAAGAAAAAAAUGGUAGUGUUUUUGGCAAGACUAAAUAUGUAGUAUAUUUAUGUUUUUAUGAAUACAGACCACUGAGUAAAAGUGAAUACAACGGCUGUGAAUCGAAUACAACAACUAAAUGAUACUGUAUUUAUAUUUUAUAUGAAUACAGACUAUUGAUAAAAUCGAAUACAGCGGGCGUAAAUUGAAUACAACGACUAUAAAUGGUAAUUAUGUAAAAUGACUAUUAAAGGUGAGUUUUCUAGCAAAAUAUGGCUACUUUUGAAAGAUCUCCUUAAAACUAUCUGGUACACAUAAUUACAAUUCUAGAUCAACUUUACUUUACUACAGAGAAAUCUCUAAUUUAAUCUACUUUCUUGUUCGCAUUUUGCACUCAUAAUAUCAGUAAUAUCCUUUUCGAAAAAGGGUCAAAAAUACCCUUAGACUAUUGAAAAUGGAUUAAAAAUAUCCUUCGUUUCUUUUUUGGCUCAUAAAAGUCCCUCUGUUUGUUUUCUGACUCAAAAAUACCCCUCUGUUAUUUUUUUGGCUAAAAAAUACCCUUCUCUCUAACGGAAUGUCAUCAAACACGUCACUUGGAUUAAAAAAAAAUUAUUUAAUCAGUCCAUAUCAGCGUACACAUGAAAAAUCACUCCAUUUUGUCCAUUUAACCAUCAACUCAUUUUAUUCUAUUUAAAAAUCUAACCCGAUCCAAGAGACAAAAUUCAAUUCUUCAAUUUUUUUUUUCUUAGAUCAUCCAUUUCACCUUCUUCCAUUCUAUUAUCAAUAUUUUUAAAGUUACGAGACUCAUUCAAGCAAUUCUUGACCUCAUCAACUUGCAGUUGUCGUAUAUUGCCUCAAAACUUACUCUCUCCAAAUUUCAAUUUCAUCUCCGAAUUACCAUUCCUCUCACUGCAAUCAGGUUCCUGAUUGGACAAAUUCAGAUAGGAAUUCCAGUAGCAAUCUGAGCUCUUGAAAAUUGGGUUGACUAUUGAGGCACCAAUUGUCUAGGGUCGACCCGAUUCUUUUGAGUAACAAUUUGAGGGCCUGAUUAUUUCCUCAUCUUUUACCUUGAUGGAUCCACAAUAUCUGAACCUAUCACAUGAAAAAUAAGCAAUCAAUUUCUCAAAUUUUUCCUCUUGAGUAGGGUUUUUUUAAAUACAGGCGGGGUUGGAUAUUUUAAAUAGACAAAAUUGAGUUGAUGGUUAGAUGGAUUAAAUUGAGUAAUUUCCCACAUCUAUGCUGACGUGGACUGGCCAAGUGACCUUUUUAAUCCACGUGGCAUGUCUGGUGGUAUUCCGUUAGAGAGAAGGGUAUUUUUAAGCCAAAAAGUUAAUGGAGGGGUAUUUUUGAGACAAAAAAAUUAGUGGAGGGGUAUUUUUGAGCCAAAAAACAAAUGGAGGAUAUUUUUAAUCCAUUUCGAAUAGUUUAAAGGUAUUUUUGACCCUUUUUCGUACUUUUUUAAAAAUGUACACCAUAUUUUCUUAAUUGGUACUCUUUGGUUCGUUAAUUUUACGCAUUUUCUUGGAAAAUCUUCAUGAAAGUUGUUAUGAAGAGCAAGAAAAAUGUAAUUAAAUCGGAGCCUUUACGCUAUUUAUCUUCGUUUCAACUUUUAUCUUAAGAAACCUGUUUAUUACUGAUUAAUUUAGUAUUCUAUGUUACACUUUGAUCUUCCAUUAAUUAAUAAACUUUGUUGCUUUGUUACCAUUUAAUUUUUCUAUUGAUGUUUCAAGAUUUCAAGUGAAAUUUGAUCAAACUGACAUUGGACAUGACCAUGCAGAAGCCAUGUCGAGAGGAUUUAUCAGUUGGCAGAAAAUUAAAAUGAUCCAACAUUAGACAUGGAAUAGUUGUUCGUUUCUGCAUUUGUUUUUUCUUAAAACAGAUAUUCUAAUUAAUGUCUCAUUAAUUUUAAUUCACUCCACUUUUGCUGAUUAGAAAAUUACAAUGGAGUCAUCUCGUUACAAUUGAUUAGAAAAUUACAUCCUAAAUGUAUGUAGGAGAUGUUUUUUUUUAAAUUACAUGUUUGACUUGACAUACACAAGUAAUAAUAAAUAAAAUAAUAAUUAACUAUAUCACGAUUAAUUAUUAUAAAUUAUCUCUUGAUUUUUUAAAUUGAACAAGUUGUAAGUGUAGUCAAUUUUUUUUUUAUUAGUACAGCUAAAGUAAAAAAAGAAUGAAUAUGAGGUAUCUCGAUUAAUAAUGUAACAGGAAAAAAAGAUGAGAAUUUCCCUUCUUAUAAUUUACUUUUGACCUUGGAGAAUUAUAUGCACGAUUUUACCACGUAAUAUAAACUAUGUAUUGACUCGUAGGAGCACCGGAUGGUUGUACGUUAAAAUGCAGGGGUCAUCACCUCUAAGAGAUCGAAUCCUUGGAAUGUAAUGAAUGGGCGAAUUAAAUUGAAUUUGGACGGGUUAAAAUAUGUUGAGUUAAUACAUGACGAAUUAUUGACUCUUCCAAAGUUUUUUUUGUUUUUGGUUUCCCAAGGUAUCCCCACAACCGGCAGUCGUGAGACUAAUCCUCCGUUCCUCUGUCAGCACACUAAGCGGUAGGAAACUGGCCACAGAGUUUGCUCCAUUCGCCAGAGGAGGGGAUCAAAUUCCCGACCUCUUGCUUAAGGGACAUGACGCUGAACCACCAUGCCAACUCUAGUGGUCGACUCUUCCAAAGUUACUUAGGGUGAAAUAGGCUAAAAGCGGGUCAAAAUUCAACUGCCAAAUUCUUAUUAAAUAUUAAUUGCCUUAUUUAUUUUUUUAUGAGUACCUAAUAAAUUAUUACCAUUAUUGUUUAUUAUGGUUAUAUAUAAAUAUUUUUUUGAAAGUCAAUUUGGACUAGAUAUCAUUUAAAUUUAGACGGUCUGAACUAACAAAUAAUCAAGUCAAUAAUCAAUCCAAACUUAAACGAAUGAAAAAAUUAUAAUUUUAUUUGCUAAUUUUACCAUCUGUGUAUUAUCAAUUGUUCCAAAUUGACUUAACGAUACUUUAUCUUCUCCCAGCAAGGAGGAUACUGUAAAUGUUGGAGAUUUUUUUAUUUAUUUUUUGAUAAAUUUCUCAGUCAUCUGGGGGUGUUGUAUAUCAUACCAAAGGUUUAAUUACAACACACGAUAGAGACUAUCCGUCAAAAUAAAAAAGAAGAGCUUUCAACAAAACAACUUAUUGCUCAUUCUCCUACUGUGCAUAAAGUAAUUAGCCUAACCAACAAAAAAUUUGCCUUGUCAUCUUCAGUUCUAAUGGAUGGAACUUGUCUCUUGUCCAAGCAUAAGAGGCCUUUAGCACCAUUUUGAAGCUCCUGUUCUGGUAAAUAGAUGUUGUUAAUUUGAGAGUUCAAUGCCAUUUUGGCUAGCCAGUCUACAAGUUGAUUAGCUUCCCUAUACCAAUGCUUAUAUUUUGCCGUUGUGUGCUUGAACUAUCCAGAGGUGUUGUCAAUAAUAUAAUCUUGUUAAGUCUAAAGCUUCCUGCCUUCUUUUCUUUGAGUAUUUCGGUAACGACCAUGGAGUCUAAUUUUAUAAGAAGGUUGGUGUAUCCAUUGUUUCUACACCAAUUAACUGAUAUGGGAAUUGAGAAGGCCAUGAUCAAUUGUCCUCCCUCAUCUCUGAGCGCUCCCCCCAAACCUGCUUUGAUAGUGUCCUUGUCGAAGCUUCCAUCAGUAUUCAAUUUGAUGAAGCCCGGUAUAUGAUUGGUUAUGAUCCUUCCUAGUCAAUUUUGGAGAUGAUGCCACGUAUAUGAUUGAUUGGUUAUGAUCCUUCAAAGUUAUUCCAUGUACCAGGAGCCAUUGUUGAUAAAAUAUUUGACUAGGAGUUUUCAACUCUUCGCAGAAUCAGUAGCUCGAUGGGCUAGAAGACUUAUAUGUUGGGUUGAAUAUGUAUGGAAAGGUGUGAAUGAAAAUGGUGAGAAAAAUAGUGGAAGGAAGGAGACACCAAUUUAGAAGGUGUACUCCCAAAUUGGAAAGUUUAUUAAUUCUCCCACCAAUACUCCCAAAUUGAAAAGUUUAUUAAUUCUUCCACAUUGGUGGGAGAAGGGAACUUUGGAGUGUUUAUAAUAAUGAACACUUACUCCACAUGAUUAGUGAGGCAAGAAAUAGGAGAUGUCUUGCGCCGUUGUUGUUGCUCGCUAGCUUAGCUUUGGCUUCGGCAAUUGAUUGAUGAGAUAUAUAUGUUUGGACAAAAUUUAUUUGAAUUCCUGAAAUACCUAAGUGAAAAAUGAAAACGCAAUAAAUAUUUUCUGUGUUUUAUCCUCCAUUUAUAUGUAUGUAUACAGUGAACUGUUGCAAUGUUUCAACCUGAACUGAUGCACUGUUUCGAACUGAACUGAUGCAAUGUUAUGAAUGGUAUGUCUGUUUUGAAAAGACAUAGUUUUGGAUGAAAAGACAUCAAUUUUCAGAAAAGGCAAACCUCUAAAGUGAACCAUGACCUCUUUUCAGAAGAGGCAUAUUGUGGCUAUAUAAACCUGUUUUCAUUCAAAGGUUUAGGUACGAAAUUUUUUGGAAUAAAAACUCUUCUUCUCUUAAAAAUAUUCUGUAUGAUGAUUCAAACCGUUGAGUGCGUUCGUGAAAUCCAACUAUUUGAGAUACAACUAUAAUUGGAUUGAAGGUCAUUUUAUCUUGGGAGGAAAAUUCCAUAACCUCGGGUACAAUGAGGGGAAUUAUUCUUUAAGGACUCUCCGUGAACUCGGAGGACUUGAUCUAAAAUUCUGUUUCAUCUUAAUUUCUGAAAAUAAAAUACACUUCUUAGAAAGAUCACUUUGAUCUUGUGUUGAGGGUAUUUUCUGUACUUCAUUGUGUUCUUGUUUUUUAAACAUUGAACUAAAAUUGAAGUUGUUGUUUCUAGUAUACAGAUUCUUAUACCCGUAGAAGGAAGAAUAACAUUAUACAAGUCCAAUUGUUGGAGAUAUAUGAACAUAUUGAUUUUCAAGGCGAAAUAAAUUCUUCUUUAUCAUCAUCAACACUUCAUCUAUGUCCUUGUUUGUGAAUAUCACUGUACGUACAUGAAAAAUUUUGGAAAUUCAAAACCUAAAGUAAUUCGUGCAUUCAAAGCCCAAUAAUCAAGUCAGCUUUUCAAUUUAUCAUAUAGACUAUACUUUUGACUUUGUGACAUUCGAUUUUUCUGUAUUGGUACAAACUUUUGUCUCCUUCAAUGAUACAUAGAAAACAAAAGAAAAAAGUAUUUUCCAUAACUCAGUGCUCUUAUAUUCUUUAUUUUUCCUACAUUUCUCUCCGAACCUCAUAACAUAAAAUGAGACGAAGUACCUUAUUUUUACUUGUUCUAGUAAGUCAUGCAUGGCAAUUUGCUUGAUGCUUCAAAAAUAAAAGGUCCAACAUCAUAGAAAUCAAAUAUGGGUGGUUGUUCCGGCAGACGCAUGGCAGGGGUAACAAUUGGUGGCUUAGGUGGUACAACUUGUUUCAAUAGAGCACCUGUUUUACCGCCAUUGAAAUCUGUUGGUACAUUACAAGUGGGAUUUGGUGAUUUCAGUAAGUAUACCCUGCACUUGCUGAUAUCUGCUCCACUUAAAGAUUUGAGCGUGAUCAGAAACACACCAUUGUUGUUUGUCGUGGCUGAUUCAAUAAUUCCCUUCUUUCCAUUGUAGCAAACUAGCUUCACAGAAGCUCCUGCAAGAAUAAUAUUAAUUAGAACAACCAUUAAUUGAAUUGUGUAAGCAAAAUUCCAACAGAAAAAUCACCUACAUCUUUGUAACCGUGACAAUGGUUUUAUUGAAACUUACUUGAAAUAACUCCCUUCGAUAUUCUAUAUGCACCCUUACGUGAACCAAUACAUACAUUCCUAUGCGAACUAUCUCCAAAGAUAGUGUUUUAGUUUGUUUUGAGUUUAUGUGACAUGCAUUACAUGUGAUUAAUACGUAACCACAUAGAAAUAGAAAUUAAGUACCUCCUCUUACAUGUAUACAUUAGUUUAUUUAGUGUAUACCGGUGAGGCUAAAUUUUUACCGAAGACGGAGCAUAUGAUAUAUAUAUAUAUAUAUAUAUAUAUUUAAAGUUAGUAAAUAUUUAAAAAUAUACUAAAUGGUGAACCUAAAAUAUUAGUUGACCCACUUAUUAAAAAUAUUUAUUUUAAUUUAAUUGUCCAGUUCAUUAAAAAAAUUAUCUUACUUUUCUAAUAUUAUCUCUUUGAUUAAACAUUGUAUAAAGUUUAUGAUACUCAAAUUUAUAUUUUUAAAGCAUAAUUAAUGAAGCUAGUAUAGUUAAAUAGACCUUGGAGUAGGGAGGCGUUGAGGAGAAUAGGAGCCCCAUAGCUGUUGCAAGAUUUACAGUACACAAGGCCCUUAACGGUUCUAGUCUCGGCGGUGGGAAGUAAUGGAGGUAGAAUUAUCGGUUUAAUUGGUCGCCGUCGAAUAAAGGGUUGUUUCUCUACUGGUGAUGGAGAUGGUGCCAUAACUGAUGGAUUAGCAAUUGAUGGUGGAGAAGCUGGCGGAGGCGGCGGUGGUUUUUUUGCAUGUGGUGAUGGAGAUGGUGCCGUAACUGGUGGUGGAGUUGGUAGUUUUGCUGGUGAUGGAGAUGGUUGUUUUGCUGGUGAUGGAGUUGGCUGUUUCGCUGGUGAUGGAGAUGGUGCCCGAGGAAGAGGUGGUUGAUUUGCUGGUGCUGGAGACGGUGCCUUAACCUGUGGUGGUGGAGGUGGUUUCAGUGAUGGCUUACACUCUGGAGGUGGAGGUGGAGGUGGAGAUGGUGACUUAUUACCUGGUGGUGAUGGUGACGAUGGCGUUGGGGGGAAAACCAGGAGGAAUUAUUAGAGGAGGCCUAAUGGGAGGAGCCAAAAGGCCGAUGAUAAUAGGUCCAAUAAGUGAUGAUAAGUCUGAUGACGGUGGAGGUGGUGACGGUGACGGUGACGGAGGAGGUGGUGAUAACCGCACCCGCGGUGAAGGUUGAAAUUCUUUCUCGGUCCCCGGUCGAGGUCGAAAUCUGCCUGGGGUAAUCUGCAGUGGUUGGAAGCCCAAAUCAGGCAAUGUAUCAUCAAUAGUAGGCAAAUCAAAGCCUUUUACAUGGCUCAGCUUUGAGAAUGAGGCAAGUAAUAGACCUAAAAGUAAUUGUACUAGUAGGGCCUUAGCUGAAAUUACAACCAUAGUUACUAUUGUUAACUCAAUUAAUUAAUCACCUAUGUUGAAGGAAGUCAAACUGAAUGAAUUUACAGAAGAGAAGAUUCUCAAUUUUGUUUUAUUACAAAUACUACUUAAUAUUAUAAAUAAAAUUAUCUUCCAUUCCCCAAAAAAGAAAAUUGUUUCAUUGAAAUAUUAAGAAAAUAAAAUUAGAAGCCAUAUGUAAACACUAGUGGCAUGUCGUUAGUGAUGAGCACGGCUUAAUAUUUAUAUUUUUUUCUCAAUUUAUGUAAUAUAUUUUAUUUUUUUAACUUGCUUAAAAAAGAAUGUCAUUUUUUCAUUUUUAGAAAAAAUUUACUUUUAUAAUUUUUGUUUUAUAUUUUAAUAAAAUAUUUUAUAAUCAUACAAAAUCUAAAGUUUAUUUAUUCCACAAAUUUGAAAAGCAUUUCAUUUUUUCUAUACCAUGCUUAAUCAAAUGGUGUCAUAUAAAUUGAAAUAAAAAAAUGGUAAAAAAAUAAAAAUUAAUUUUUUUAUUUUACGUAUUUUAUGCUUCAUUUAUUUGUAUUUGAUAAAAAUGAAAAUUUUAUUUAUUCAAAUUUAAGCUAGUAACUAUGUAAUUAAUUUUUUGUUUGAAUCUAAUCCUUUAGAUCUCAAUAGGUGUACUACUUUCAUGCUUUCUUUUCGAUACAGAUUUACUAUGGCAAAAUACUUCAUACAAUCAUUUUUAAUUUAGUAUUUUGUAUCUAUUUUAUUCUUAUUAUUAAAUAUUAUUUAUUUUUUAAUACUUAAAUAACUUAUAAUAACUAAUUAGAGGUGAUUAAUAAAAUUACGAACAAAAGUACUCCACUGGUGAACAAAUUUAACUGAACCCCAUAUAAGUCGUCAUAUUAGUUUAAAACAUAAGAGUUGACUUUUAAUUUUGUGUCUAUUUUACUUUUUUUAAUGAAAUAUUAUUAAUUUCUAAUACUUAGAUAACUUAUAAUAAUUUAUUAGAGGUGAAAUAGUAAAAUCACGGUUAAAACAACUGAAACAGAUAUAUAAUAAAAGUCUAUUUUACCUUUUUAAUUAAAUUUUAUUAAUUUUUUAAUACAUAAAUGACUUGUAAUAAUUAAUCAAAAAUGAUAUACUAAAAUUAUUAUCGAAGCAGAUGAAACAGACAUAUCAUAAUGUCUAUUUUAUCUUUUCAUUAAAUAUUAUUAAUUUUUUAAUAUAUAAAUGACUCAUAAUAAUUAAUCAAGAAUGGUAUAGAAAAAUUAUAAUUGAAACAGUUAAAGCAAACAUGUUGAUCAUGAGCAGCCUGCUUUAGCUGAUUCAUUGUCAUUUAUAAUAUGGAAAAGGACAUGGACUAACCAUUUUUGAAAAGGUGGACAACUGUAGCCAGUCGACCAAAUUAAUUUCCUUUUUUAGCCAUUUGACCCAAUUGGGCACAUGCAGUCUCUAUACUCAAUUGAUACACUUUUAUACUAUAUUGAUACACUUUUUACAAAAGAGAAAUGAAAUUCUAUGCAAGUACAUGCAGUCCCUAUAUCCAAUUGAUACUCUUUUAUAUCAUAUUGAUACACUUUGAUACCGCAUUGAUACACUUUUAUACUAGAUUGAUACACUUUUAUUCCACGUUGAUACAGUAUAUAUACCACAUGCAUAUACCUUUUACAGAGAAAAUUUGUGCAAACGUAUGCAGUAAUUCGUUAUUCGUAAAUUUGUUAACUUCACCUAAAAUUUUGUGAAAAUUUGUGCAAGCAUAUACAAAAUUUAUUAAAUCCUGUACCCUUACUGUUCAAACAUUCCUGAAUUUUUUCGAUUAAAAAGAGAGGGAUAGUAGAAAAAAAUAAGUCAAAGUGCCACUAUAGUGUUAACUCAUUUGAAAAGAGAUGGAACAAUUAUAGGUGGACUUAUAUUUCAUGUUUUUAUUUUUGUGAUCGCAUCUGAAAAAAUAAAUGGAUGGAUAAAGUGGACUUUUUUCAAAAAAAAAAUAAAAAAAUAACAACAUUAAAAGAAAAAAGGAAAAAAAAUAGUGAAAAAAAAAGAGAGAGGAAGAAGAGUAAUGGAAUAUUCAGUAGCCAUUUGAUGGAAAUGACUACUAUAUGGUAAUAUGAAUUCAAAGGUCAUUUUGAUAAAAAUACUUUGACCGACAAGCCAUUCUCGUCCUCUUCCCUUUAUAAUAUAGGAGAAAACUUAUAUACAAGUCCUCUUGGUGAUCACAUUACCAAUACAACAUAUAUAACAUAUGGAGUUGCUAUAGAAUAUUAACUAUUGUGAGUUUGUGUCAAAAUUUGUCAAUUUAUAAUGAUUUUAUCACAAAAAUUUUCAAACGAUUUUUCAUCGCACGUAUUGUUUUUAGUAUGUUGCUCCUUUAGAGAGAGUAGGUUUAUUAAUAAAGAAUGAAACAGAGUAUAUUCCCACAUAAUAGAGUUUGUGGAGGGUAAAGUGUAUGCAAUUCAUAGCACUAUCUUCGAAAAAGUAGAGAGGUCGUUUUCGAUAGAUCCUGGACUCAAGACAAAAGGAUAGUAAUCAAAGUAAUCAUAAAUAAUAAAACAAGGCGAAAACACAAAUGAACAAUACUCACAAAACAAUAUUAUACACUAACAAACCAAAGACACUAGGAUUUCUACCCUAUGCACAAGGCCAUAAGACUACUAGCGAAGCUACACCACAACACUCCUAACUACUGCCUAAUUAAGACUCAUUCACGCGCACUAGCCCUCUAUCCUAAUAUGCUUCCUCCAAACCUUCUAUUUAGGAUCAUAUCCUCAGUAAACUGUAACUGCUCCAUGUCACGUUUAAUCACCUCUCUCUAAUAUUAAUUCGCCCAAUAUCAAUUUACUUUACGAGUGAAAUAAUCAGUAACUUAAUUUACUUUCUUCAUCGCAUUUUGCACUCUUAACGUCAAUAAUACUUUUUUUUUUAGUGCAGACCAUAUCCUUUAAUUUUACUUGCUACUACUAUUUGAUUCUUGUAACUCAAGCAUUUCCUUACAAGGUCUUCAGAUUACUGUUUUCGCGAGAAGAACUAUUUAUCUUUUUCUUGAUUUCCAUUUUUAAAAUAAUUGUUUAUUACUGAUCAUUACUUGAGUAUUACUGUUUACAACAUAAUUUAAUUCAUGAAAAAUAAAUUUCAACCACAAAUAAAAAUAUGAAGAAACAACAAUUUUAUUGAUAAGCGAUGUGAGUACAAAUCUGUUCCUCCCUUGAUUCUUUUCUCUUGAUUUUCUCCAUAAUUUGAGGGCUGUCAGUAGCGUAUUUCUUGGACGUAGGAUUUGAUAUGAAUUUCUCCGUAAUUUGAGGGCCGUUAGUGGUGUAUUUCUCGAAUAUAGGAAUAUUUGGAUUUGAUCUCCAUGAAAGGAGGUUUUGUGGAUCUUCUUAAUGUAUUUGAUUUGAUUAUCAAGAAGAAAUAGUUUUGAUCUAUAAAUAUCCCAUGAAUUUAUUGGGACUUUGAAGAUCGUUGAUCUCUUUGUGAAUAUCCCGUAAAUUUGUGGGAUACUGGAGAUGCCUUUAAAGGGACAUUUGCCUCUUUAUACAGGCAUAAUUUAGGGUUUAGGUAGAGCAGCUACCAAGCUAGAUUUAGGGUAAAGUAGUCCCAAGAACUCUAACCAAAAUUGAGCUCUUUUUAUAGAGCCAACAACAAUGUCUACAAAUGCCUCUACUUCAAGGUUUGUCGGAGUGUAGACUUGAUGAAACUCAAAGACGAGUCUUGAAGUACCGCUUCCAUCUUUACGAUGGAAGACGGCUACAGAUUUGCAUAUUUGAUUUAUGAGAGAAGAGCUGAAGGGCAGAUUUGGUCCCACUGGGCGUACCAAUUUAUUUACAACAUAAUAUAAUUUAUGAAAAAUAAACUCUAUCCACAAAUAAAAAAAAUGAAGAAACAAUAAUUUUAUUGAUAAAUGAUGUGAGUACAAAUCUGUUCCUCCCUUGAUUCUUCUCUCUUGAUUUUCUGCAUAAUUCGAGGGCUGUCAGUAGCGUAUUUCUCGAACGUAGGAUUUGAUAAGUAUUUCUCCAUAAUUCGAGCGUCGUUAGUGACGUAUUUCUCGAAUAUAGGAAUAUUUGGAUUGGAUCUCCAUGAAAUGAGGUUUUGUGGAUCUUCUUGAUGUAUUUGAUUUGAUUAUCAAGAAAAAAAGAGUUUUAAUCUAUAAAUAUCUCAUGAAUUUAUUGGGACUUUGAAGAUCGUUGAUCUCUUUGUGAAUAUCCCGUAAAUUUGUGGGAUACUGGAGAUACCUUUAAAGUGAUAUUUGCCCCCUUUAUAUUGGUGUAAUUUAGGGUUUAGGUAGAAUAGCUGGGGUAAAGUAGCCCCAAAAACUCUAACCAAAAUUAAACUCUUUUUGUAGAGCCCACAAAAUUUCAAUGUCUCCGAUUACACUUGGAUGUUCCAGUAAUAAACGGUUGUUGCUUUGCUCCCCUUGAAUUCUACUCUAGAUGUUUCAAGCUUUCAAGGUAACAGAAAAUACUCAUAUCCCCGCAAUAGAAAUUUGAUGAAAAAUUACACAUGACCACAUGAGUAUGCAGAAGCCAUGCGGAGAGAGUUUAUAAGUUGGCAAAAAAUUAAUUAACAUGAUCCAACAUUAGACAUGGGAUUAUUUUUCGUUUCUCCAUUUGCUUUUUCUUAAAACAGAUAUAUACUAAUUAAUUUCUCAAUAAUUUUAAUUGACCCCCACUUCGCUAAUUAGAAAAUUACUACUAAGUGCACUCGUUACAAUGAUACCCUAAUAUCAUGUAUGUUAAAAAAAAGAGAAAAAAAUCCUUCCAGCUAGCUAGUUGCAAUCAUGUUUGACUUGAUACACAGAAACAAUAAAUAAAAUGAUAAUUUUACUAUAUUACUAUUAAUUAUCAUAAGUCAACACAAAUUAUCUAUUAGUUUUCUAAAUUAAAUAAGUAAAGUGCACAUCCCUUUUUAAUAUAGUCAAAAAAUAAAAUAAAUGGGUGUUACCUUUCUGGAUUAUUGAAGUAACAGCGGAAAAAGGGAAAUCUCCCUUCUUAUUAUAUUUAUUUUUGACCUUAGAGAAUUACAAACAAUAUUUACCUCGUCAUAUAAACCAUGUAGCGACUCACAAGAAGAGCGGAUGGCUGUAAUAUUUGUCUAAUGACACUAUUUACGGAUUAAAGAUUUAAAGUUAAGAAUUCCGAAUGUUAUUGUUCACCAAUAAUUUUAAAUAAUUCAAUUUGGAAACUUCCGAAUGCUAUUGUUCACCAAUAAUUUUAAAUAAUUCAAUUUGGAAACUAAUAUUUCCAAAUUAAUCUCAAAGCUGUUGAGUAGAGCCGAACUUGAAACUCAUACAUACUCCUCAUUUGUCAAAGUCUACAAGGGAUUACAAGGGAUUGAGACGUGUGUUUUUGCUAUUAAAAUUCUUUGGACCUCUUUACAUGCUCAGUAAAAGUUGAUUUGGACCAAAAUGAUCACGAACAAAGUAAAAAUAUAAUGGACAAACUUAUGUUUAAAUUAUAUGUUUUUGCUAAACACUGGAAUUCUUUAUUUAAUUAUUUAUAGGAUUUGGCAAUGACAUUCGAAAUAGACUUUUGUGGAUAAUCUGAUAUCAUGUUAAAUUAUAUUGUAUGACCACCUCAUUCAUGAGAUGAAAUGUACAACAGAAUAUGUAUAUAUAUAUAUAUAUAUAUAUAUUACCCAUGUUUCCAGAAUUUUAAUUUGCCAUUGAGCUAUAUUAAUUCCAUGAUGUUACAAAUUAUUUUGUCUUCCAUUAAUUCCUGAACAAGCUAAGCCUGAUUGAUCCCUUUCAUUGUUUUAUAUAUCUUCUUUUGUUGUGCUACUCCACUAAUUAAUUAAAAAAUCAAAAGUACGUAGGAAAAUUACACUUCGAGAUUCAAAAUCCAGAAGAACCAUUCACUCUCCUGUUAAAUAAUACAUACGGAGUAGUACUUUUAAUUUUCAUGAAGUCUUAAUUUAGGACUUACAAUUCUUUUUUUUUUUUUUAAAACCCAAAAAAGUCGGGUUGUGUUGUAUUAACAAAACAGAGGGGGGCUAGACCUGACCUCAAUACAACACUAAGCCUGGGUGAACCAACACACACAAAAGACUAGAAGGCUUACAAAAUCAACUAGUGCCUUCUAGGAGAUGAAACAAACAUGAAACUAACUUACAUAGAAAUUAGCUCUAUCAUAUUUACACCUAAUGCUUGGGAGUUGCCAUUUAUCUAGCAAGAAAGCUCCUUUAGCUUGUCUUGGAAGAACGUUGUAAGAGUGAGUGAUGAGAGUUUGGUUUGAAUUGGAGGCCAUUUUUGCUAAGAAGUCUGCUACUUGAUUUUCUUCUCUAUAACAGUGACGAACUUGCAUCUAGACUUCAUUUUUGAUGUUGUUGAUAGAGUCUAUCAUCGGUUUGAGCUUUAUAUUGGUUACCCCACUAUUGUUGAUCAUGUUAACUAAGUUCAUAGAGUCGAGUUCUAGAGUAAAAUUGGUAUGCCCGAAUUGAUAGCACCAUUUUACGCCAAACUCAGUCGCCAUGGCCUCAGCCAUGUUGUUGCUAUUAGAAUAGAUAGGAAUAGAGAAUGCCAUGAGAAGAUCUCCGUGACUAUUUCUAACUAGUCCCCCAAUUCCAGCUCUCCCAUUUUCACGAAUGUAGCUGCCAUCCGAGUUGAUCUUUAACAUCCCGGCAAAAGGCAUUUUCCAGGUGACUCAUCUAAUCCUCUGAGUUGGCCUAAGACGUUUAAUUUCAAGACAAAAAUCUGGCUAGUUGUUUUUCUCAUGGAAGCUAGUACCAGUUCUUGUCAAAACGAUUUUGAUAUUCCCAAUUGCUUGAUAACACAUCUUAUUCCUACAGAAGUAUCUUUGCCCUCCAUAUUUGCAGGCACACCGUUGCUUCCAAAUCUCCCAGCAUAUUAUUGUAGGGUGAUCUUCAGGAUCAUUUUGUGAAUUUCAUUGAUUGGUUUUAUACCCCACCACGCCUUAAAAAUUUGGGUCGUAGGUUGAUUAGUAUGUUGAAUGCCCAACGGAUUCCCUAGGGUGCUCCAUAGUUGUGUUGAUGCUUCGCCAUCUCCAAAAACAUGAUACAUUGUAUCACGUUGUGCAUUCUUACAACAAAAACAAUCAUUUUGUGAGUUGAUAUUCAUUCUAGUAAUUAUGCAUUGAAAGGAAGUUUCUUUUUAAACAUUCUCCAAGUUAAGAAGGAUAUUUUAAAAGGAAGCCUAUUAUGCCAGAGAUUAUUUAGAAAACUAUUUUUUGGUCUUUGUUUUCUAACUAGCUGUCAUGCAGAAUAGUUAUCAAAUAGACCAUUUUCGGUAUUAUUCCAAAUGGGAUAGUCCUUCUCAGUGUUGUUACCGAUUGCUAUGUUGGAUAUGAUAUCCACAAUAUAAUCGGGAACUACAUUGUUUAACUUAAUGAUGUUUCAAGAAUUAUUCAGGAUAAAAGAUUUAACGGGAGUUUUGGAAGACUUACCCGGGCCUUGGCAAAGUUUAGCCAAGGCCCCUAUACCUGUCCAGUUGUCCCACCAAAAACAUGAAUUGCCUUGUUGUACUUUCCAAAUAAUGUGUGGUUCAGCUUGCUCUUUGAUUUUCAUCAAGCUUUUCCAAUUAUGUGAAUCCCCAGAAGUUAGCUUUUUUCCAACUGGAUGUGAUCUUUUGCAGUACUUGUUGAUUAAGAAUUGAGCCCAGAGAGAAGUUUGAGUUCUGAACCUCCACCAUCUCUUUACAAUCAAGGAGUUACAAAUGUCCCUCAUUCUUCAAAUACCAAUACCUCCUUCAUCUUUUGGGAUACACAAGUUUUCCCACUUAGACCAGUGGUACUUAUUUUUACCAUCACUAGCUCCCCAAAAAAAGUUAGCAAAAUGAUUUUCGAUUAGAUUAAGAGUGUCAGUGGCAGGGUUAAGGGACGACAAAUUAUAUAUAGGAACAGAUUGAAGCACAUGAUUAAUGAGGAUGACCUUACCUCUGUGUGAUAACAUGUUACUUUGCCAUCCAUUAAUCCUUUUAACAAUUUUAGCAACCAUUUUAUCAAAAUAGCUAAGAUUCUUUCUACCAUGGUAGAUUGGACAACCCAAAUAAUAGAAGGGGAAAGAUUUAUCCAUGUAGCCAGUCACUCUCCUAAGCCUGUUAAUUCUAUGUGGAGCCGUAUUAAGAGCAGUAAUAGAGAAACUCUUAGCAUCUUUAACUAGUUGACCAGAGGCAUUCUUAUAUCUUCUAAUUUGAUGCUUAAUGAGUUUGAUGGUUCUAUUAUUAACUCCGCGGAAAAUAACUAUGUCAUCAGCAUAAGCAAGAUGAUUAAUGAGGAGGUUGUUAGUGUUCAUGCUAAAAGGAGUAAAAUACUCAUGAGAAUUCAAUCUAUUUAGCAUUCUAGACAACAAUUCAGAACCAAUAAUAAAAAGAGAAGGGGAAAGAGGGUCACCUUAUUUAAGACCAUGAGAUAAACUGAAGAAGCCCACUCUCUCACCGUUGAUAAGGAUGGAAUACCAAACAUUGGAAAUCGUUCUCCAUAUAAUGUCAAGCCAAAUACUAGAAAAACCAAAUUGUUUCAUGACACUCAUUAAGAAAUACUAGGACAUUCUUUCAUAUGCCUUGGUCAUGUCCAAUUUCAUAAUGGCAUUGCCCCCUCUGUUAUAAUGUUUAAUACCAUGGGCAAUUUCUUGAGCUAAUAAAAUAUUUUCAUUGAUUAGCCUUCGUUUAACAAAGACAUUUUGAUUUUUAGAAAUAAGUUUUCCUAGAAGGGGAUUAGGUCAUCUAGAAAGAAUUUUAGAAAUUAUUUUACAAGUGAAAUUGCUUAGACGGAUUGGUCUAAAUUCAGAAAUUUAUUUGGUGAAUCGAUUUUAGGAAUCAACAUUAAGCAAGUAUGAGUAUAAAACUUGGACAGAUUCUUUCCUCAAAAAAAAUCCUGAACAUAAUCUAUAAUAUCAUACUGAACGAUAUCCCAACAUUUAUGGAAAAAGAUACCUGAAUAACCAUCAGGACCUGCAGCACUUGUUGCACUCAUAUUAAAGACUGCUUCCUUAAUCUCGUCCAACACCGGGACUGCAAUAAGAACGCUAUUUUCCUCAUCAGUAAUGCAAGUGUCAAUAUAGUUCAUAAUGUUAAAAUCAUCAAAAAUAUGAGAAAAAUUAAAUAGUUUUUCAAAGUGAUGAACUGCAACCUUGGCUAUCUUUUUGUCUCCUUGAAUCCAUCUAUUUCUAUGAUUCUUGAUUCUGUAUAUUUGCGCCCUUCUUCUUCGUCCUCUGAUAACACUAUAAAAGUAUUUGGUGUUUGAAUCUCCUUUUUCCCACCAUCUGAUUUGAGCUUUUUGUUUCAGAAUACUAUCUUGAUGGUUCAUCCAUUUAAAGUAUUUUGCCUGUCCCCCAUUCAAAUCUUCCCUGCUCUUAUCACUGGGAUUGUUGAGAUCCUCUUCUUCCAGUUCCUUCAUCUUGAUCUCCCACUUUUUCACUUACUCAAAGACAUCUCCAACAACCUCUUUUAACCAAGUGCUACGAUUCUUACUAAGAAGUUUAAGCUUCUGUUGGAGUCUUCAUUGAGUAUUACCAGAUAUAUUAGUACUCCAGAUCUCUUUUACCAGCUGCAAAAAGGUUGGUUGAUCAGCCCAAAAAUCUAAAAACCUAAAGUAUUUGAUUCGACUAUGUUGGUUGUCAAAGCAUUCAACUAAAAGAGGCCUGUGAUCUGAUCCAGCUCUUGGAAGGUGUCUGAUGACAUUAUUCUGAUAAGAGUCGGCCCAUUCUUCGUUAAUGAACACUCUAUCUAGCUUCUUUUAAAUUCUCCUUUUUAGAAUUCUGUUAUUGCACCAAGUAAAUUUUGGGCCUAUAAAACCUAAAUCCGCAACUUCACAAACUUUCAUGCAGCUACUAAAGUCAAGGCUCUUAGAAAUUCGAUGAGGUCUGCCACCUAUCUUCUCCUCUGGAUCAAGAAUGACGUUGAAAUCCUCACUAACACACCAAGGUCCUUGAAUAAGCCGAUGUACUCUUUCCAGGUUAUCCCAUAGGAUUUUCCUUUCGGCGGAAGUGCAUUUAGCAUAGACAGUAGUAAUGUAGAUAACUUUUCCAAUAUUGGGAUUAUGCAUCUUUAUAGUGAUUUGUUGCUCUGUAUUAUCAAUAGUGGAGGUGUUAUAGUUUCCCUUCCAGAAUAACCAAAUUUGUCCAUUCAGAGUAGUGAGGCUAUGUUGGUAACCAAAAUACUUCAUGUACUUGUCAACCUUGUUCAAACCCAAGAAAGGUUCAAAUAGGGCUACAAAAUCAACUUUAUGAAUACUGAUGAGAUUUCUAAGUCUAUGAUUGGCUUUUUUGGUUCUAACUCCUCUAAUAUUCCAAAAGACAGCUUUUAUCAUGGAUAUUAGAUGAUAUUGUUUUUGGUUUCCUUUGCUUUGUGGGCAUAGGAGCUUUCUUCUUUCUUUUUUUGUGCAUUUUCUUUCUUUCAUUUCCUCUUAGCUUCACAGCUGAAAAUUCAGCAGUAUCAUCCGUAUUUUGUUGUUGAUGCACUGGUUUGUCCGAUAACGUCACCACUACCUUGUUAGGAGAGAUCAUUUGAAAUUGAGGAUCAAUUUCAUUCUCUUUUUGCUUGAUGGUGGCUGGUUUUUGAAUGCCUUGUUGAGUAAGAUCAACAACCAAGUUUAAUCCCAACAUAUUUUUAAUAACAGAUGAAACUUCCUAUGCUAGUUCAUGGAUUGCGUCCGUCGGUGUUCGUUUUUGUAAAUUCUGAUUAGAGCUUUCUUCGGUGUUCUUUGAGAAAUGCACGUUUUCUUUAUAGAAACUGCUCAAGUCGUUUGGGCUAUCAUUUUGUCUUUCUCUGUCCUUCUGUAUUUCCCCUUGUUGUAGCGAUUCACUUUGUCCUCCUUCUUCGUUGUUGUCGCGAUUUAGAUCAUCUUCUCUAUUGUCGUUUAGAUUUAUGGGAGUCUUGAUUGCUUCCUCUGGAGCUUUCACUUUGGAGGCAGCUUUCAGUUGAUUUUUCUUGGUCCUUUUACCAAUCUGCUGAACAAUAUUCGGCUUAAAGGAGACUUUGGAUUUCUUUUUCGGAAGCUUCCUUUUCUUCUCCUUCUUCUUAUUCUUAUUGAUUCUUUCACUAAUCGUAGCAAGAUUCUCUUUCUUUUUCUGUUCCACUUUUUUGCUCGCAUCUUUCUUUCCCUUAGGUUUUUCCAAAUUAUUCUCAUCAUCGUUAUCUACAUUGUCCGUUUUCGGUGUUCUACCUUGUUCAUUCUGCCUUUCAGCGUUAGUAUGUUCAGCAUUGUCCUUUUCCCUGUUUUGCUCUUCAAGUUUCUGUUGCUCAAUCGCCCUUUUCCUUUCCAAUACUCUACAAUUAGCUAUGGCAUGACCCAGUUUUCUACAAUUUUUGCAAUACAUGGGGAUCCCCUUAUAUUCAAGUUUCUGCAUAGAACUUGUCUGCGGGGAAUUCUCAUGAAUUAAGCCAACAUAAACCGAUUUUGGCUGAGGUUUGAGCAAGUCAAUUUCUACUCUAACCUUAGCCAUACUUGGUCUAGUUCUACUUCUUGUAGUUUGGUCCAUUUCAAGAGGUGUACCCACAAAGCUGACUAUUUGUUUGAUAUAUUGCCAUGCAUAUGGAAUGGAAGCUUAGGGAGAAGGACCCAUACCGGAGCGAUAGGCAAAUCCUCCUCCGGCUUGAAGUCCGGCGUCCAUUUUUGCAACCACAUCUGUUGUCCCUCAAUUUCAAUGACUCUCUUGAACCACACUGCAUUGAAGUCCUCCUCAUUUGUGAAAUCGAGAAACACAUUAAAAUUAUCAUAAACCUCUAUUUUGGUCAAUCCUUUAAUGGUGACCAAUUCUUUGAAUUUUGAUCGGAUUAUAUCUAUUUGGGGUCUUGAUUUAAGAAAUCUACCCACUAUUGUGAGUCUACACUCUUCAGCCAUUAUACCAUAAUAAUCUGACGCCUUGAACAUUACGGCAGGGACUCCAUUGUGAGUAGUGUGUUUUGCUUUGACCUAUUCUUUCUUCUGUCGAACUUCCAUGAGAUUUGGUUACGGGAUGAGUUAGGGGAUGAGCUAAUUGUGGCGGCAUAUGAAGUUUUUCCUGCAAUUGCAGCUGUAGAUGGGUUCGCCCCUUUGGGUGGGAUCAUUUGAGCAUCCAGACGCGCCUUAUCGGCGCCGUCCGGCGGGUCCAUGCACGGAGCGUGUAUGAUACGCGGCAGGAAUAUGACCGUUUGACAGAAAAGUUAGAGAGAGAAAUUUUUGACCAAGUGUUAAGGACUUACAUUUCAAAACCAUAAUCUGAUUUUUGUUACGAAUGUUGGACAUUUUUCUUUCGUACUUACAUCAAACUAGAUAAAGAAAAUGGAAACAAAAGUUCCCCUCAAUAAUUUCAUACUGUUGUUUAUUUCUUCACUUUCUUACUAAUGUAAUUGUUUAUUUUCCUCACUUUCUUACAGCAUAUCUGGCGGUGUUCCUCCCACAACUGAUGUCUGAGGAGCUGGUGGAGAGGGGGGGGGGGGGGGGGGUGACCACCGCUGACGAGUACGCCAAAAGUUAAUGGGAGGACUUUCAGGAAACUUAUAUACCCGAAGAGUCGUUGCAUCAGGCAAACUUUCAAUUCCUUCUCCAUGACUCAGCUCUGAGAAUGAGCAAACUACCAACAUUGAGAGUUGUAAAAGCACUAGACCUUUCACUGGAACAACACCCAUAUUUUUGUUAACUCAACUCAAAUGUCUAAAACUAGGUUAAAGGGAUCGAAUGUAUUUACAAACUUGGGGAAUAUGUACUCAUCUGCCGCAAGUUCGGUAAGACGCAAAUGUUUUAACCCAAAUAUUAUGUGAUAAAUAUAUGGAUUAAUCAAAGGAUUUAAUCUAAUUAAAAUAAUGCUCCAUUUACAAUAAAACUCGGAUUUUCGAUGAUAAAUUAAAAAGCUCACGCAUGGCUGCCAAUUGUUAGACUUAAUUACCGACGGAUAAAACUCCUUGAAGUUCAUUUACAUACAAACAAAUAAAAAAGAGAGAAGGGAAUGGAUAACCAAUUCUGAUGGAUUUCUGAAUAUUAUAUAGAUGGAAAAUUUUAGAUGUUGAAUUCAUGCAAAUGGCCCAAUAGAAGAGAAGGGGCCCAAGCUAACAAGCUAAAGCUGUACAACUGGUAAACAUUACACAUUUAGGUCUAUAUUAACCUGACAUCCUGAAAUAAUUACAUUAGGUAGCUCUAUAUCAAAAAUACAGUUAUAUAAUAUAAAAAUACAGUUAUAUAUUAUUGUGUAUAAAUUAUAUAUAUGUAUGUAUAUUAUAUAUUAAUGUACAACUAGGAUAAUCAUGCAUGCUGCAUAUAUCUUUCUCCAUAAUUCCAUAUAAUCCAGUAUAUAUACUCAAGAUCCUUACAUAGACAUAUACGUGAAGUGAAGGAAUUUACUAAUUCCAUUUUAACGUGUGCACUUUUCAUCUUGACAAACAUGCACUAAGGUAGAGAUUAUUAGUAAUUAUCAUAGUAAAGGGAAGAAAAAAUUAGGGUAUUGAAAUAGAUCUUUGAAUAACAUAUACUUUAUCUAAAACCGUAAGCAAAAUAAUACUUUUAUUUACUUGAUUAUAUAUACUUAACGAUAUUUAUUGAAUAUAUACUAGUAAUUGUUAGCAUAUAUCCAUUACAUGUUUGUGCAAUGCGACCAGAUCUCCUUUUAUAGUUCCGGUUAUUUUGUCAUUGCUUAUGUAUUUUAAUUUCUUAAUCAUUUCUUCGUAAAACAAAGAUACAGAGAAAAAAUUAGGAGUUUAAAAUUCUAAAACCAUUCUUGCAUUUGUAUUAAUCAAUAGAUAAUACUCAUAUAUAUUCUAAGUUAUCGCGAGUUUCGGUUUCAGAUUUACGAUUGAAAAUAAUCUGUGUAGUAUUAAUUAUUUUCCCAAUAAAUAAAUUCAUUGGUCAGCAUAUCAGUUGAUGUAUGAAAUGACUCAUCUGCAUCUGGUGAUAGUGCCGGUGACAGAACCUCUGGUGGUGGAGGAAAUGGUUGCUCAGCAUGUGGCAAUGGUACCGGUGACUGAGCCUCAUCAUGUGGUGGAGGAGCUGGUUGCUCAACAUCUGGUGGUGGAGGUGGUUGCUCAUCAUGUGGUGCAGGAGCUGGUUGCUCCACAUCUGGUGGUGGAGGUGGUUGCUCAUCUUGUGGUGGCGGAGGUGGUUGCUUAUCUUCAGGUGGCGGUGGUGG